UCGCUAUAUAAAAAAAUAUAGAAUUUAAAUUUUAGAACUAAAAUUUUAGAAAUAUAGUGCAUAUGUGUAUAUAUGUAAUUAAUUUUAUUAAAUAUUUUUUUUUACAAUUUUUUUUAUUGGUUUUCUUAAAUUAUUUUGAUAGAUUAUCUCAAAUUCUUUUCAUAUAAAUUUUAUAAAAUAAAUUAUUGUAUAAAUUUACUUUACGCAUAAUUAUUUUUAUAUAAUUUUUUAUUUAAUAAAUAAUUAGACUUAUAAAACUAUAUAAAAAUAUUAAAAAAUAUAUAAUUUAUUAUAAAAAUAAUUUUAUAUCCGCAGCAUCGCGCGGGUAAUUCACUAGUAAGCAUAAUAAUAAGGUUUUAAAAAAGCAUGGAAUCAAAUAAUGUGUUUUGUAUUGUCUUAUAUUCAUUUUUUGGAUUUUGUGAUCUUAUUAACAGUAACAUAGAAUGAUUGGGUACGAUUUAGUUAAAAAAAAAUAAAAAAAUAAAAAGAAAUAAUUAAUCUUGUAUAAAUAGUGGUUAUUACUAAUUGAGUUUAUUUUAUAUGUAUCUUCUCCAAUUUAUGCAAUUAAUGCAACUAUUUGAUCAUGAGUAGUGGUGAGUUUUUGGUUUGAUUAUUGAAGUUAAAAUCAUGUAGUAGUAAUUAAACCAAAAUAAGAUAACCUAAAAUAUAUAUUCAUGUAGCUCUAAUUUUCGUUGCUCUUAUAGUAAUAUCUUAAAUCGAAAGACGGAGAUUAAGAUACUCUAAUGUUUGGUUUAUAAUAAAAUUUUCGAUCACAGUGUAAUUACUGCAUUAUUUAUUAAAAAAAGGCUAAAUUAUAUAAAAUUUUUCUGUCAAAAUUUGAUUUUUCACUUUCUCUCCUUGUCAUUAAAAAACCUACACUUUGCUCCCUUAUAAAAUAAAAAAUAUUCACUUUACCCCCUAUCGUUAGUAAUCCCUUUAGAGUUUCGUUUAUAAAAUAUGAUUAUAUAUUUUUUAUGCCAAAAAUAUCUUCAACCUUUUCUCCUGUAAACAUAGUGAGGGACGAAAUGGUGAGGAGCAAAAUAGUUAUUUUGUCAUCGCAGUUCACACCGUACUCCCUGUGAAUAUUUUUUAUUUUACAAAAGGGUAAAAUGUAGGUUUUUAAAUGACAUGAAAAAAGUGAAAAAUCCGAUUUUGAUAUGUAGAUUUUCUGUAAUUUAGCUAAAAAAAAAAAUAUUGUUGUAGCUAAAGUUAUAGACCAAUUAUCUUGGAAAUUUGGUAUGAACAGUAACAAGUACAAUCACUUUAAUUUCAACAUGGUACACUUUUUCCACAUCCAUGAGAUUUAUAGCCACAUUGUGGGCUUGAACAGAUCUCACAUGGACAGUGUCAGUGUUGUGUUGAAAAACCCUAGAAAUUGAUUUCAAAACUACAAAAAAAGAAAAAAAAGAAAAAAAGAGGAGGAGCAGAACAAGAUGGGGGAGCAUUGAAUGAUCACUUGUCGGUGUUGUGGUUUCUUCUUUUAGAGAAAGAGGAAGCAGCUUUUAAUAAAUUGGUGCAUAUAUCUCUUUGUCCAAAUAUAUUUUUUAUUUAUUUUUUUUCUUGUUUUAGUAGCAGUUAUCUUCUUGGGCAUAUAAAGUCUAGUAAAUCUGCACCCUUUAUUUUUUGGUAUAAGUAUGUCACUUUUCUCUUCAGCUUUCAACAGCAGCCAUCUAUAGUAUAGCAUUUACUCUGAUGAUUCUAUAGCACUGAGAAUUGUUGUCUUAAAGAAGUCAGCAUUAUAUUAUAUAGCGGGAGAUCAGAUUGGAUCAAGUCAUAUUCGAAACGACGGGAGGUCAUGAGUUGGGCCUAAUUAUCUUCUCAGAGUGGCAAGAGUCUGAUCAGACCGAGUCACAAUCAAGACUCGUAGAUGCUGUGUUUGCACGUUUUAAGUGAAUUUGUUGUAUAUUUCUAGCAUUCGAGUUUUUGGAAUUAAUAAUUAGCGCCAACGAUCUGACAAGAAUGAUUUGAUACAUAUAUAUUGUUGUCUGACUAUAUUUGCAUGAGCGUUUACAAGUCUAAUACUUUCUGUUCUAGCAAGAAAUAUUUGGUGCAUAUAUCCCUUUGUCUGGCUAUAUCUGUUUUAUCUCCUGCUACUUACAAGGAUUUCUAGUAGAGUAUUCACCAAUUAGAUGUUUCUGCUUGAGACCCACUCCACAAUUGAAUGAAAGCUUUAGUUUGAUACUUCUAACUUUAAUACUACACUGAAGAGUAUCUGUUAAAAAUAUUUUACGAUAAUGCUUCUUCUAAAAGUACUGCUCAAUCAGCACUUCAUCCACCAACACUAUGUAGUGAGAGGAAGAACAAUAUAUUUGGAGAGAGAGAGAGAGAGAGAGAGAGAGUGUUGGUUCAAUUAUUAUUGUGGUUGGGUUAGGGACCAAGGGUUUGCAUGAAUUGUAUGUGAUCAUCUAAACAUUUGGACCCACCUUUUCUCAUUAAAGAGCAACUGGGGCUCACAUGCAAGCAUUUACAGUAACAGUGUUACUUGCAUGAGUGCCCCUAUGAAUAAUAUUCAUAUAUGACUACACCUAUUGUGAGAGGCUCUUGUGUAUGCAUGUUUAAUAUAAAUAUAAAUAUGUUAAUAUCAUCACUCUUUUACAGGACAAUAGUUAAGCUUAAGCUAUUGAGAACAAUAUUUUUAAUAUUUAUAUUCAAAAUUAGCUGAAAAUUAAAUGCUCAAUCUUACUCUUUCAUCAUUUUAUGAAUAGAAAGAUAGUAGUAUAUUGCGAUAUAUAAAAAAAAAUAAAAUAAGUGAUUAAUGGCUGAAAUUGAGCUAAUAAUUUUUAAUUUAUAAGUAUGUUCCUCACCUAACAAAGUUUUUUUUAUCUGUGGGGCUUAACUUUGUUCCAUCCAGUGAGUUAAUAACAAUGCCUAAUUCAAAUAGCAAUAAACUAUUAACAAUGAUGUUGUAUGAGAUACCAAAGUGUGAAAAUAUGGGUGCAGUAACUGCUUAUCACUAGCCAACUUUGGCCUGUUGCAAUCACCUAAUUAAAGGAUAGAAAUAAAUUAUAAAACAAGAAUAACAUAAAAAAGUGUAUGUUACCACAUUUAGUGGAGAGAUUUGAGGGUCCUUGAGCUCAACAACAAUAUGGACAUUUUGCUUCUUCCCACUAUUAUAUAUGCUUCCUAGUGUCUUAAUAGCUUUGAAAUGCCUAGAGAUGCUAAAACCAUGUUUGUGAUUUACUAAGUAAGCCUCUUCCCUCCAUUCAUGGUUUCUGUGUCCAUUGGCUACCCCAAGUUUUUUUUUUUUUUUUUUNAUAUUUUUACCAUAUAUUAAAAAUUUUGUAUUCUUAUAAAUCAUAUUCAUGUUUGUGCUCGUCUAGAUCUGAAUAUUUUUUAGGGGUAAUUGCUUAUACACCUCUAAAAAAUUUCCCACUUUCUGAUUUACCCCUCUUAAAAGGCUAAUAUUGAAAAUACUUUUUUUACGUUCCAACCUAUUUUAACUAUGCCCCUAGAAUUAAAAUCUGUUAAUAAACUCUGUUAUUUGUAUAAAUUACUAUUUUGCCCUUUCAAAUAUACACUUAUACCAUCACCAGCUUUUCUUAUUUGUCCUUCAGUCAGGGACACAAAAAGUAUUUAGACUGUUGAUUUUUUUCAAAUAUACCCCUCUACCGUUACCAAUAUUUCUUAUUUGCUCUUAAGUUAAGGGCAAAAUUAAUAUUUUAAUUUUUUUUUAACUGUGGCAAAAUUAGAUUUACACUUUAAUCAAUUCAAUCCUUUAAAUCAUACUAUUUAACCAACCACCCACUCAACCUUAGAGAAACCACUACUAAACCUUAGGGGACCGCUAUAAUCCUAACUCUACAAUUUAUCAUCCAAAGAUUAAAAUCUCGAUAGUAAAAGAACACAAAUAUUAUUAAUCGUAUUCCAGCCCAAUUCAUUAUAAUCUUAUUUAACAAUUAAGUCCCUAAAAUUUUUCUAGCAUCAUGACCCAACUUGUUAUGUCAAUUUUCUUCUCAAAUAGGGGGAAAAGAAAAGGCUACAUGGGUGUCUAAGAACUAGUACUCUAGUUAUUAAUAAUAUUGAGCUUAACCAUUUUGAGUGGAUAACAAAUUGCUAAUACUAAUAGGCAAGAAAAUAUAUAAUCUCUCUCUCUCUCUAAAAAAAUUAGGUUAAAAAAAAAACUCCCAAAUUCGUCCUGAUACACUGAGAAACAGGAGCGGAAGGCAGAGAAGCCCGUAGCGGGUUUUUUAGUGCAAUAGUCUUUUCUUAAAAUUUUAUUCUAAAAAUAGACCUGUUAAAUUUUUAUUUAUAAAUAUAAUCCUAUAAAAGCGGUGAAUGAUUCACCGCUUUUAAAAACGGUGAACCAUUCACCGCUUUCUUUUUUUUUCUCACUUCUUUUUAUAUUUCUACAAUGGUAAAAGCGGUGAAUGGUUUACCGCUUUUACCCUUUUUCUACUCCUAAUGACAAGUUAUGAAUGCGGUGAAUCAUUCACGGCAUUUAGAGAUCUAUUUUUAUAAUUAUUUUUUUAACAAAAUUAUUUUUACAAUUAUAAAAAUUGAUAGGUUUAUUUAUAAAAAAAAUUCCUUUCUUUUAUCCAUCCCGCGAUCUGUCAAAAAUCUGUUCCCCGUAUCUGCCAUCCUCAUCAAUUGGUUGUUUUUCACCAAUUACAUUUCCCAUGCAUGCAUGCAUGCAUGCAUUGUUUUGUUAAAUGUAAUUAAAUUAAGAUGAUACAAAUGACCAACCAACUAUUGUCAAUUGCAAUCAACUGCACUAUCAACAAACUGAAAAUGGCAAGGUAAUAGUAACUUGAGGUAUAAAUUUUGUGUGUGUGUGUGUGUGUGUGUGUGUAUUUGAUUGCAACUAUUUUGGCCACUUAGGUAGUUAAAAGAAGCCAUAAAUGAUAGUGACAUAGGAACUGCAUCAAAGUCCUAUUCCUCUGCUCCCUUGUACCUUUUACUCUGGGAAAAAAAAAAAAAAAAAAAACAUGAAACACACCCUUUUUCUUUAUUUUUAUUUUCAAAUAAAAAAAUUUUAGAUUCUUUUCUUAAGAAUCAAACCGACAAAAAAAAAAUACUAUUGACGCCAGAAAACUAUUCCCAUCUAUUUGUAGCAGAAUUAAAAGCACUAAAUUUGAGCUUGCGACUUUUGAGGCUACGAAUCUCAAUUUUCACCAUCUCUUUCAACUUAAAAGUUUCAAAAUUUUCUCUGUUAAAAACAAAAGCAUAAGCUGAAACAAACAUGCCAGAAUUAGAAGCACCAUAGUUGAACUUUUUCGUUUUCGAGGCUACAAAUCUCGAAUUUAUCUAUUUGCCAAACAUUGUAGAAAAGGUUGCUGCUGUAAGUAAAAGCAGAAGCUGGAACAAACAUGAUAAUGCCCUAAUUGGUUCCUAUCCAUUUCUCAUUAUGCUCGUGGGAACAUGGAAUGAUCCCUAAACUAAAGCCUACAUAUAUAGCUAACAAAGGAAAAAAAAAAUUUAAAUAAAAAGUACCUUUAUAGGAUGCUACUUCAAAGCUUUGGCCUUUCUCUGUAGCCUCAUUGACUUCAUUUGAGAGGCAUUCUAAAGAGGAGAACAACAAGUUGGGGCUUUUGAAAAGGAAGAAGAGCUGUAAGUAGAAGCACUUGAGAGGUUGCUGUAAGACUCAAAAGAGAAUGCCAAGUAUGUGUUUGAUUACCGCACCCAGCGGAGGAUUUGGAGGCUUACCCACAAAUCAUGAUUCCUAUGUCCUAAAUCUUAAUGAAGUAAUGCAAUACCCCCUGCCGUUUACACACAUCGAACAAAAUGUAUGAAGGGGAUUUGUACGAUUUACCUGACACGUGGGCCCCACACGCCGUCCAAAUCGACGAAUCUGGUGUCGCGUGCUGUUUACUUGCAUGUAAAGAGAAGUGAACAGAGUAAUUUCGAACCAUAAUAGCAGCCAAACAUGUUUGUGCUUUAUAACUCGCUCGACUAGUAAACCUUUUCACUCCAUUCAUGCUAUCGACCUAUAGCAAAAAUUUGAGUUUGCAAAAGCGAAAAAAAAUGUGAAGUAAUAUCAAACGGUCAUAAGGAACUACGCGAAAAAGAAGUUAUUUUGACAAGAUAAAUAGGUUGCAAAUCCACUGCCGCAGUGAACACAAGUUUGCGGAUUGCGUAAAAGAAAACACUUUAAAUUUCGGGAAAUCAGAUAAGAAAUCUAAGAUCAGACUUGCAGUGAUUUGAGAACUUCUACCAAUAUCAUUGCUGAUAGUUAAACUUCACUUAAUAUUUCUUCCAUUAGUGUUCAUCCUUCCAAAACCAAGAACAUUUAAGCAGCGAUGACAUAUCACUUCGAUACACUUCUCUCUUUUCUCUUGCAUGUUAGAUCUUUGUAAAGAGAGGAAAGGCAAUUAAAAGAGAGAGAUCCUAUGUUAGAUAUUUAAUAUUAACAGCAAUUAAUUCACAAAAAAUGCAACCAACAGUUAGAUUACUUCUAUACAUAUAAAAUGCCAACAUUACUUAUAUUCUGGAACAAAUAUACUGAAAAGAGAAACAGUAAUUACCUGAAAUUUUGUCCGGAACCACAUGAAGAGAUCCAAUACGCCAAGAACAAUCUUUCCAUCGAAACAAGAAUCAAAUGAGAUGUUUCAAGGCCUCUGACCACCCAAUUUUCUAUUUGCGCCACCUUGUUGAUUAGAGCCAAUUGUCCUCUUAUAGAAGGAGAGCUUUCAUUUACAAGUAUAGAAUGGAAAUGACUCAUCCAACAGAAAACAACUGGAUGAGCAGUUCUUGUUAUUUGCUAUCGCUAUUAAUCCUAGGAGCAUUCAUUGCGCGCUUCUUUUUAUUCUUCCAAAACUCAUCUUUCUUACCCUUCUUCGGUUUUAUACCAAACUUGCUGUUGACUAUUCCGAGAAUAGCACUCCUAUCCCUUCUAUUCUUUGUUUUUGCUUUCACAUCUAAAAUAGCCCGCAAUUUCCCGUAUGCUCCGGCGUCAGGUACCUGACCACUUCUAACCAUUUGCUUAUGAUAAAAAAACGCUUUAGCAAAAUCGCGCACGCGGACAAAUGCAUAUAUCAUUGUAGAAUAAGUAACCGAAUCAGGCCUCAAAUUAAGAGUCGCCAUCUCCUUCAACAACUGUGGCAAUUUGUAAUGCUGUCCUCCUCGAGCAUAUGCGUUCAUCAAUAUAUUGUAAGUCAUUACAGUGGGCGCCAAACCAAUUUUCCCAAAUUCAAACAUAACAUCUCUUGCUUGGAUGUAAAGCCCGUGUUUCGCAAACCCGUCUAAAAUAAUGUUAUACGUGACUCUUGUACCUUCUACUUUAUUAGCAAUCAUCGAUUUCCAAAUCUCCUUUAGUUUGUCGGUGUCACCCGCUCGCCUAAAUGCAUCAAGGAGAGCAGUGUAAGUCUCUAUAGAAGGCUUUAUUCCUUCUCGUUUCAUAUUUUCGUACGACAUAUAAGCUUUUUCGUGCCACCCACCAACUGAAUACGCAUGUAUUAGGGCAGUAUAGGAAUGUGAUGUGGGCUUUAUACCAGCCUUUUUCAUCCUUAAAAAGCAAUCGGCUGCCAUUUCGCUCAUUUUUCUCUGCCGACCAUAAGCACUUAUAAGGCAAGUAUACGACCUGACAUUUGGUUUUAGCCCUAAAUUUUGCAUCUCGGAGAGCAAAGCUUCGACAAUAUCUGGUUGCGUCCUUUUACUGUAUGCAUCCAUUAAAAUAUUGUAAGUUGCGGUUGUUGGAUUUAAGCCCUUCUCUUUCAUCUCUUUGAAAAGGGCUUCUGCUUCUUCAACCUGGUCCGAUUUUACGUAUGCAUCGAUCAGCGUGUUAUAUAUGAUGGCAUUUGAUGCAACUCCUCUCUUUUCCAUUUCAGACUGAAUGAUAAGGGCUUCUUUUUUAAGCCCCUCAUCACAAAAGGACUUAAUAAGAGCACCGACGACCUCUAAGCUCCAUUUGACACCUUUCUUGUUCAUUUUUUCAAAGAACUCCCAUGCAUCUUUCGCACAUUUCCCGCUUUUUCUCAUCGCAGUUAUUAGAAUAGAACAUGUGACAUGGUCCGGCCGGAUAUUAUUUGCUUCCAGAAGCUCGAACACUUUCCAGGCGUCAUCAUAGCUGAAAUGCCGCAGAAAAAUGUUAGAACAGAGAAGAUCUAUGUGGACUACAAACAAAAGAGAGAACCAUCAAAACACCAAUGUCGGAUUGGCUGAAUCCUGAUAAUGAAUAACUCGAUAACUAAACAGAAUGUUUUCUACGUUUAAAAUUUGAUUAAAAACCCGCAAUUUCCACUAUGACUACUUGUGCUUUUCAUAGCACAACAAGAAAAUACUAAAUAAGGCAAUGCUAGCAUGGAUUUACACAUUAUUACAAAUUCACAAAACCUACAAGAUUGGCCAUACUAGCGACAUAUCGGCAUGCCGUGAAGAUAGAAAACGGAUCUCUUUGAUUAUUCAUACCGAAUUGUUGCAUUAAUAUCAGUGCCCAUCAUAUAUUUAGUCCCUAAAUUUGGGCUUAUCCACACUGGGUCCUAAAUGCUUAUCUGAACAGAUUAAUCUAUGAUAUCACCUCUGUUUUUCCCUAUCAAAAUAUCCACCGUCAACAGCAUUUUCUCCAUAUAACUACAAUGAUCACUUUACACAUCAUUUACUAUGCAACCCAGUUUCCAGCAAACAUGGGGCCUGGUCAUGUGCAAUGCACAACAACGGCGACACUGUGAUAAGUUUUCGAGUUGAGUACAAUUAUCAAGUAACCUAUUUAACUUGAAGGUCAUGGACCAAACAUCAAUGAGAUGAUUGAAGAGGAACUCACCUCCCGCAGCACGCGAGGCCGGAGAUGGCGGCAUUGUACACCCUCACAUCCCUGAACUGCCUCCCCCUCGGCAAAUUCUCGAAAAGCACCCUCAACUUCUCCCCCAUUCCGGCGCGGCCCAGCGCCGGGAAUAUGAUCGAACACGUUCUAGGCGUGACCAGCGGCGGCUCCUGCAGCCCCAUCCACUCAAACAAGUACAAGCACUCCCACACCAACCCCUCCUCCCCCAACCUCUCCAUCAGCUCCACACACUCCCCUUCCCCGACCCUCCCCUCGUAGCUCCCCAAGCACUCCCCCAGCGUCGAAUUCUCCGGGAGGCUCCUCGCGAGCCGCAUGAUCUCCCCGACGACCCCGUCGUCGGGAGCAGCAGCCGCCGCCGAAUCCGAUAACUCCGCCGCCGAUUCGAGAACUAGGGUUGCAGCAGCAGCAGCAGCAGCAGCAGCAUCUUCCACCUCGCCGGGAUCGGCGAGGUGCCACGAGCUGCGGCGGUUGCGCUGGAGCGAGGGGCGACCCUCGCGCUUCGGGUCGUCGACGGGGGCGCUGCGGCGGCGGUUGAAGAAGCUGAGAAAUGGGUCUGAUUCCUCUUCCUCUUCCUCCUCCUCUUCUACAUCUAGUUCAGCGAAUUCUCCGACCAAUUCGUCUUCUUCUUCCUCGAUUGGGGGGGGUUUUGGGUGUGGGGGAUCGAGGUGGGGGAGGAAGAUGGGGGAGGGAGGGGUCGAGGAGGAGGAGAUGGGGAUUAGGGUUUUGGGGGGUUUGAGGAGAGAGGAGGAGAGGUUGGGGAGGUGGGGAGAGGGGAAGGGGAAGGAGAAGGGGUUGAGGAGGAGUUUGAGCGCCAUGGGAGAGGAGCAAAAGAGAAAAAGGUCAGGAGAGAGAGGAGAUAAUCUAAAGGUGAAAAAUGCAUGGAGACCCCUAAACUUUUGAAUCUUUGGCAAAUAGAUCCCUGCAGUUUUAAUUUUGGCAACCAGACAUUUUUUUUGGCUAAAUUAUAUAGAACUUUCUUAUAAAUACUUUUUUUUUUACUUUUUCUUUCUAAUUUUUAAAGUACCGUUUGGUUCGGGUAUAAGCAAGAACUAGCUAUUACAGGGAUAGAUACAAGUAUGGAGAUAAGAAAAAUAGCGUUUGGAUGAAAAUUGGAUUGCUCCCAAGGAUAAAAAAAAUAUUAGAAAGUUUUAUAUAAUAAAUGGAGGUGUUGGUGGGGAUAACUGAGAACUACUAUUCUCGAGUAAAAAAUCUACAUUAUAACCCAUCAACAUUUCAAGUUGUUAUAUUUAGCCCCUCUCUGUCAGGGUUUCAUCACUAUUCCGUUCAUUUUUUAUAAUUUGUACAGAAAAUACCUUUCAAAGUGACAAAAAUAUAUUUAAAUAUUAUUUUUAUCGUUAUAGAAGAAGUAAGAGUAAUUUGAUCAUUUUGCUCUCUCCAUUAACAUCAUGCAUCCCUAAAAGUAUUUCAAAAAUUUUAAAAGAGCAAACUAUAGAUUUUUAAAAGUUAGAAAAAUAAAAGUGAAAAAACGAGUAUUUACGAAAGGGUUUCUGUAAUUUUUUUUUUUUUGAGAGAAAAUAUAACAAGCUAGCCAAAAAUGUUUCUAUUUUUUUUGGCCCCUAAAGUUUCAAUUUUGACAACUAGACACCUCGAUGGGUGCGCCAAAAAACGUUAAAGCUUUUUUUUUUUCUAACGAGAAAAUAAUACAAUAGUAUUAUGAUUGAUAACGCAACAAUAAUUACAAUAUUACAUCACUUCUAUAUCAAUGAUAUGUCAGUGUUUAAUCAACUAAAUUAAAUUUAAAAACCUUAUUAUAAUAAUUAAUAAAUUUUGAAUUAAAAAUUUUAUUAAAUUAAAGAUUGAGCAUCAUAGUGUCAUGCCCCUCAUAGUGUAAUUUAGCUUCUUUUAAAAUAGGCUAAAUUAUAAAAAAAAAAUCUUUAUAAAUAACUACUUUAUUUUCCCUCCCUAAUUUUUAAAAACUUAUAUUUUACCCCCUCAACAUUUCAAAUUAUUACAUUUAACCCCCUCCGUCAAAGUUUCAUCACUAUUUCAUUUAUUUCUUAUAAUUUAUACCAAAAUUACUCUUAAAAAUGAUAAAAAUAUAUUAAAAAAUAAUUUUUUUCUUAUAAAAGAAGUAUGGAUAAUUUGGUUAUUUUGCCCAUUCUAUUAACACCGCAUCCCCUAAAAUAUUUUUGAAAUUUUAAAGGAACAAAAUGUAAAUUUUAAAAAGUCAGGAGAAAAAAAAAAUGAAUAUUUACACAAAGAUUUUCUAUAAUUUAGCCUUAGAAUAUGUUGUUCAAUUCAACAUAAGGCCAUGUGCAAAACAACUUCAUAAUAACAUCUGCAAAACACAAGAUCUUCAAGAGCAACAAAUUUACAUAGAGAAGUUUACAUUUGCUUCUCUUGCGGAUUCGAAGCGGCGAAGCGCCAUAAGAGGCCUCCGACGAGAUUGUUCAGCGAAUGCGACGCCAUCGGAACAACGAGGCUCGCGGAAGUUACAGUCGCCACGCCGUAGGCGAACCCGACAAAUGUUGCCCUGGAACAAUCAUCAAAACACAAAUGUAAAACCAAGAAAACAAAUACUCACUACACUAUGCUUUUUGAGUUCAUACAUUGAAGAAACUCUACUUAUAUAGCCUAUUCGAACCUCGAAGUUUUCGACAAAUAUCAGCUCUAAGAGACGCGAAUCUAUUCUCGCGCUUUCUACUUCUUUUGUAAUCUGUGCGUGGUUGUAAUAGUGAUGUGGAUCGGGCUUUUCGGGUGUACGAACGUCGUUGACGCCGCAACCGUAGUGGUAGCAUAUGGCUUGACCGACCCGAGAUAGGUCCGGGUUGAAUCGAACCUACGAAUUUUUAGAAGCAUCUAGGGAUAAGUAUCGUAUCUAAAUCCCGCUGUGCUAACAUCAUAUUGCGUUAGAUGAGUUUCUAAACCUAGGAUUUGUCCCAAUUAAAUUUAACUUCCUAAUCUUUGAUUCACAAAUCCUGCAUCAAAUAGUGUAUAUAAUCGCGUACCAAACGGCGUACGAAAGUUUCCGGCCGCCACCCAAGUGAAGAACUCCGAAGAGAGCACCGAUCCCGAGGGCGCUUAUCCAAUUAAGUCCGAAAAGCGGCAUUAGACCCCCGCGAAAGAGCAAUUCCUGUCAUAGCAGAUGAUGCUAAGAGCUAACAACCAUGUUCUCUAUAAACUGAUGAUAUUUGAAGAGAAUUAUAGCAAUUUAGAUAUCGAAGGAAUUGUUUGUCGAAAGUGACACAGAUGAUGCAAUAAAAGUAACAUUAAGAGCCUGUUUGGCCUAGCUAGAGCUUUCGAAGUGCUGGGUGAGUAGAACUGUUAGAGGAAACACGAACAUCUUAUCUCUAUCAAAAAGUCAACCCUCUAGCUUUUUGCUGCGAGGAUUAGAAGUUUUAAAUUGAAGCUUCUACUUUCAAUGCUCAGAAGCUUGUUUUAGCUUCUUGCUACAAUAAAAGAUCCGAGAGUUUUAUUUAUCAAAUUAUGGUGGUGCUUUUCGGAGUAAAGAAGCUGCUCUAUAGGCCGAGACCAGAGAGGCGCUUAAGAACUGUUUGGAGAAGCAGUAAUAGCUUUCUUUGCUGAACAAAGACAGAGAGAUAUGGACGGAUAAUAUCUUUACCUCACUAAUCCCGGGGAGAAAUGCAACCACGACAUAAUCCAACGGUUGCAAUGAACUAAGAAUCUGAUUUGAAAAAAAAGAAAAAAAGAAGGAACAGGAUCAAUUUAGAAAGGAUUUGAUGAUAUUCCUCACAUAACUAAAAGAAGCACUAUUUUUUCUUAGUUAACUGAAAACAACGAUAAAAUCAGAUUUCACAUUUAUUAACACAAAUCAAACAUAAAUAUAAAAAAAAAAUGUUUAAGAAAAGAUAAGAAAAGAAGCAAAUAACACAUUUUAAGCUAAAUAAGUGUGUCGCAGGUAUCGAGCAUACUUGUUGGUUAGCUGCAUCGCUAGACUCUGAAAAAUCUGGCCAUAUCUUCAGGAGAAUAAAUCGACUAGUUGAGAUCAGUAUAACUAGUCCCACGAUCAGUUCGAUAUGCCACAUUUCAAAACCAACUGCAAAGCGGCCAAUAAACGGUCAAUCGAAGAAAAAAAACAUAUGGUAUAACUGCAAAACAUUGAACAAGGCAUGCAAGCAAUAUACCAAUGGAAAGAAAAAAGAAAAUAAUAUGUGAAAUCAAGAUUACACAAAUACUAUCACGAAAUUUCAAAAACACGGCUUUUCUGAAUUCUGAUCAUAUGGCAUUUGUGGGAGAAGAGAAAUAUUUACUAACGGCCACCUUCACCAAUCAGGCAGUUAACUACUUGAAGUUGGUUAAAAUCGUAUGAAAGUUAAGAAACAAGUGCGAGAAGUGGAGCACAAUAUAUUAACCACAAUCUAAAUGUGAAAAAAAAAAAAAAAAAAAAAAAACGGCGGCAAUCCAUAUUUUUAACUACAACCAAGAUCUACAUUCUAAUGGAGUAAGGGCGAAUUUGUUUCCCAAAACAAAAGCAAACAAAAGGAAGAGCUUUAAUAUCCUCUAAUAUAAAGUGGACGAAUAGUUGCUUAGAUGCUUGUACAUUUGUUAUAUCCUCUAAUAUAAGAUUUCGGCUGUUGGAUGAAGGGAUGUGCGGUUAGAAUGAUAGUGGUCCUCUAGGAUUGAGUGGGUGGUUGAUUGAAUAGUAUGAUCCAACAGGUGGAAAUGGUCAAAAUGAUAAAUCUAACGGUCGAAAACUUAUGAGUACAAAAGAGUCUAUACUCAUAAAAAUAUAGUAGCCUGACUCUCUCUCUAGAGUCUAUACUCAUAAGAAUAUAGUAGCCUAACUCUCUCUCUCUCUCUCUCUCUAUAUAUAUAUAUAUAUAUCUAGAAAAUGUAUCGACUCCACGAACUAUAAUGCAAAUAUGUACCCAGAGUCUCAAGAUAUUCUUUUCCAUAGAGAUCAACAACUAAUUAGAAAAUAUACAAAAAAAAUUAAUGGGCGACACAACUAAAGUAAAGAGUUGAAGCCUCUUUUCUGCGCGAGUCUCGUAGCAACAUUUUUAGUACAAGGCCAUUGGUUCCUCUGUAAAAGCUUCUUUACAGAAGUAACAAUGACGACGAAAACUUACAUGCUAUUUCUGUAGAGUCAAAAUUUGCCCACCCUUUUGCAUAUGCAAGAUGGGAAGCCUACAAAUCGAAACAAUAAGAAUUUCAAAUAUAAGGAAUAAACAUGAUAAUAUAAUAUCAUGGAUACGAAAGAUUUCGCUAGUAGUUUUCAAUUUAGUGGUUGUUGCAAGAAUUUAAGUGGCCAUCGGCAAGGGCCGUAUCUACCGUACUGUAUCGUGCAAACAAAAUAUCGGUACGAUACAAUCCCCAUGCCGAUGGCACACUCUCUAAAAUUAGUAAAUAAUUUUCUCAAUAAAGUUCAAGAGAUUUGAUAAAGAUACAUAAUAAACAAUUAGAAUAUUUUGUUGCUAAAGAAAAUAAAUAUUUUAUACCAUUAUGUGUCGGUAUAUAUGUAUUUUUUGUAUCCGGCACGCAUCGGCACGACCCAGCACACACCGUACUAUGCCAUGCCGACAAGUUUUCGGCAUGAUCCCAUGCCACGGCACUUAAAUUCUUAGGUUGUUAUUUACGUUUGUACGCAAGAUUACCUGAAAAUGUUAUUUUUAUUUUAGGAUAAAAAAAUACCAAAAUAUGUCUUGUAUGACACAUACUACUCCAGUAUUAAUGUUCUGUUUUCCAGCCAAGAGAGAAAAUGUACAAAUUGGCACAAAAAGUAGAAACUUAACCUGCCGAAUUGCUACCCCUGAAGCAACCAAUAAGACGGAUGUGAUAAUACAAGCCUGAAGCACCGCAGCUCUACUUGAGCCUGCAACUUGAACAGCGGCAUCUGCAUUCUCAUUGAGCAGUUCGACACUGGCGGAACGACCACUAUUACCAUCAUUAGAAUCUUUGUCAGUCGACUCCUUAUAGCCAUCUGGGGAAAGUAUUUUACUUGUCAGCGUUCCUUCUUUGGUUGUUUUUCGAUCACCGCUCCUUUUCCUCUCAGAUUUUCGUGAUGCAAAUGCUUUGAGUUGUACCUGAUUCCACUUUAAAAGAAAAUAUUGAAUCAGUCGCAAAUGACAAAGGAUUUUGACACGUCAGAGACAUAAGGCCUGCUGGGCUUCAUCAUUAAAAUAUCCUCUACAGCUUCGCAUUGCAGCAGAAGCAGAAACUUCGUAGUGGUUGCUAUGCUAUCAAGGAAUGAAAGCUCAUUCUAGCUUCUCGCCACAGCAAACGUUCAAAACUCUUUCCCAGACAAACACUUGAUUUCUAGAAGCUUGUGCGUUCUGAAGUAGAGAACUCAUUCUAAAGACUACGCAAAAGAGGCACAAAAGGGUACUGAAUAUUUCAAAACAUGAAGACAAUUAUGGUUCGUUUACGAUGAAUACGUCGAUACAUUGAUUAGCUAGAUCUCAAUAAGAAAAAAUGUAACCUAGCACUUACACUGCAUGGAUAAACGAGAAGACGUUUUCUUGUGGUAAAGGGGCUGCUAUACUUUCUACCUGAUUAAAUACGGUCUGUCAAAUGUAAGGAAGCAGAAUUACAUCACAAUCGACUAAAGAAGAUCUGCAUUAAGCAAUUCAAUGAUGAAAAAAGUGGAUCAAAAACUUAUCAAGCAGGAGAUGGUACAAAUGGUGCAAAUCUACUUGAAUUAUCAAACUAUCAAUCAACUUUUCCCCAUCAGGAUCAUGUUGCUAUCUCCUAUUUAACUAGCUAAUGUUAUUCUGAAGAACAUGCUUCAACUCGACUCUUGAAAACACAGUAACAUAUGCGACUAUUCGAACUUAUUGUUUCAGUUCAAGAGCCGAGAAACUAUGACACUAAGGUGAUGGUUUUUUAUUUGGAAGAAAAGGCUUUAGACUCGAAAUAAAAUUUGAAAUCACUACUCAUCUAGCAUCUAAUCACCCAACUAUUUUCUUUAAGGCAUAUUUGGUUGCAUCUUCUUUUGUUUACUCAGUGGUACGAUACUACGAUGUAAUUUGGUUGGUAGAUAGUACGAAAAGAUAUAUUGCCAAGGCCAUGUUCGGAUGCACAGACAUCUUAUUCGAUAUAUCCCUUUGAUUUACUCAAGAAGCAUGUAGUCUUUUGGAAGAAAAGGAGUGUGAUCAAAUGUCUGGAAUGAAUACCAUAUUCAGUCUUCAAAUCAUUUUUUAAAAUAAGAUAAAUCAUCACGUACUAUUCUACCAAAUCAAACUCCUAACUUUCAACCACAAAUUAAAAAAAAAAAAAUCUUCAUUCCGAGUAAGUGAUCAUUAAAUAUCUUACUCCGACAUCGAAACGGGGCCUCAGGGCCUAUUCGGUUGUAUGAAUAUCUUGUUCAGCAAAUCUCUUUUAUUUAUUCGAUCAUAAUUUGGUUGGUAAAGAGUGCGAAAAGACGCCUAUAACUCAAUAGUAUACAUAGUCUCUAAAAUCACCUUGUAUUCGCGCAAUAGCACAUUGCCAUCCGAAACUCAAAAAGGCCAAAAUAAACUACGUCGACUCUCUAAUUGAUUACACCCACCGUCCCUAGAGCAAGUGACAAAGAGCUUGGUGGUUGGUAUCCGAGACCCAAGUUCGAAUCCUAGUUGAUUCACAUUUCCAGCUAAGUUUAUUUCUAAAUUAAAUAAACGAAGCAAGUAGCGUGCUACCUAUCUCUCUCUCUCUCAAAAAAAAAAAAAAAAAAAAAAAAAAAAAAAAAAAAAAAAAAAAAAAGACUCUCUAAUUGAUUACUGUGACUGUUCCUAACGCAAGUGACAGAGGGCUUGANAAAAAAAAAAAGACUCUCUAAUUGAUUACUGUGACUGUUCCUAACGCAAGUGACAGAGGGCUUGAUGAUUGGUACCUAAGAUCCCAAGUUCGAAGCCUAGUUGCUUCGCAUUUUCAGUUAAGUUUAUUUCUAAAAAAAUAAACUAAGCAUGUAGGAUGCGAACUUUCCCUCUCAAAAUUUUUUUUAAAAAAAAGAAUUACUUUCUAAUUAUUUCAAAUUCCUCUACGUUUGUUAACAAUCUUAAAUCGCAUAAGAUUCAAAUAGCUAAGUAAAGUGAUUAGCUAAAUCAAAGCAAAAUAUUAACCAUGAACUAAAGAAUCAACACAACACAACUUCAUAGGCUUUUUUUUUUAUUAUUACUUUUUUAGUUUACUCCCAGGAAACAAUUGAGUGUUUCAUCCAACCAAAAAUGCAAUUUUUAACCUAUGAAAAAUAUUAGAAAAAUACUAAAAAACGAACAUGAGACAAUUAAAGCCCCAAAAUUAAGUUCGAAUCUCUAAAUCCAUAAAAAGAUAAUGAUAAUAAAAGGCAAAAAGAAAAAAAAAAAAAUUUAAAGGGUGUGAAUCAAAUACCUAACCUUGUGAUGAGGAGAAGAGCGAGUGAUUAGGUGGGAAAUUACUCCCGAAUCUCAUCAACGUGCUCGUUGUAUUAAACAUUUUCGAAAAUAACAAAAAAGAAAAGUAAAAAAAAUAGUGGCGACGAGGAAAUUAGGGAGCUAGAAGGACCAAUUUGUAAAAUUAUGAUUUUUUUUAAAAAAAAGAAAAAGAAAAAAAGAAUUUGGCGUGUGCGAUGGGUCGAUGUGUGAGACUAAAAAUGAGCGGCUAUGAAUGAGCGUUCUUUAGACGGGAUAAAUGCAUAUCCACCCCCUAAACUUUAGAUAUUUGUAACAAAACUUUUAAUUUUGCUAAUAAACAGAACCAUCGAUCAUACCCAGCGUAGUUAGCUAAGAAAGCUAAGAAAUUAAUAGUUAGUAUCUGAGAUACCAACACUACAACAAAAUUCGGUUAUAGGGACACAUAUUUGAAAUACUUUUGAGUAAGUAUCCCAUUUAUGCUAAAACUUAAAAAUACAUCUAUUAAUGCCUAAAUAUAAAGCCCAAUCCAACCAAAAAUAAAAGAUUACUUUACUCAACCCACCACACUCAGUCCAUUUGGCCCGAUUAUAAAUAGAAAAAAAAAAAAAUCAAUUACCAUCUUUUCUUCUCUCUUCACUCAAUCCACUGAAAUUUUAGACGAAGAGCCUUUACUGUCGUCCUCCUCCGCCGCCGCAGCCAACAAGAUAGAGUUUCGGCAGUUGCUAAAUGCUUAAAUAAGUGUUGGUAAAUUAGCAGCACUUUUUUAGGUUAUAGCGACACUCUUUAACUGUCACUAUAUACCUAGCGACCCCACAUAUAGCAACACUUUUUAAAAGUGCCGGUAAUUUUAGCUAGCAGCACUUUUUUGACAUGUACCUAUAUUUAAAAGUGUCGCUAUAGACCGUUUUUGUUGUAGUGGAAGUUCUCAAUCUAAUAGCUUCACAUUUCUAGCUUGAGCAAUUUUUACUUAUGAUCACUCAAAAUUUAAAAAUACAAAUGAGAAAUCUAGGCCUCGUUUCGUAUCGUUGCUAUUUUUUUAACAUUUUAAGUAAUAAUUCCAUAUAUAUAUAUUUUUUUCCUGAUGAUCACAAAAAACUUAAAAAUACAUAAUAAGAAACCUAUGCCUUGUUUGAUUUCGUUGCCAUUUUUUAAAAACUUUUUUAAGCACCAGUUCUCCAAAAUUUGACGUACCGGAAGAAAGAUCGUGUUGAUAGUAUUUUUACUGGUGAUCAUGCAAAACUUAAAAACACAAAUACGAAAUCUUGGCCUCUUUGCCUCUUUUGAUACCGUUGCCAUUUUUAACUCUUAAAAAAAAGAAAAGAAAAAAAGACAGAUAGCAUAUUAUCCGCUUCGUUUAUUUCAUUUUUAGAAAUAAAUUUAGGUAGAAAUGUGAAUCAACUAAGAUUUGAACUUGAAAUCUAGAAUAUCAACCACCAAGCUCUUUGCUAUUUUUAACUCUUUUAAACACUAUUUCUAUAUACUUUUUAACGUCUUGAAGGAAGGAUUGUGUUCGUAGUAGGACUUUUACUGAUGUUAAAAAUACAAAAAAAGAAAACCUAUGCCUAGGUAGGUAUCAUUGCCGCAUUUUAGUUUUUUUAAGCACUAAUUCUGUAUAACUUGACAUAUUGUGUUGGCAUUUGGUUAAAUCGAAUCGGGUACGCCCAUAAUCAGGCUCGAUCCGAUGGUUAUUAUGUUAUCUAAUUGGAUGAGGAUUAAUCUCACUUUUAAAUUGAAAAGCUAAUUAGAGAUAAAUUCGAAUCAUAUUAGUAUAACAAUUAAUAAUCGAUUUGGCCUUAUCUCUUACGCUCUUAGGAUUUUGGAAUUCCAUAUAAAUAUGCGGGCAAUCCCACAUAAAACGAUGAACGAAAAAUAAAAAGAAUAAGAAAAUAAAAAGAGAGAAAUCAUAUCCUCCAUUAACCUAUUAUUCUAAAGGGACUUGAACGGUGGAUUUGCGAUCGUGCUCGUUUGUAGUUCAAUCCACUGCAAGUUCGGGACGUAAGAAGAUUUUCAAGGACGAUCCAAGGACACGUGAAUCAACCUCUACGAUCCGGGCUUGUCGCGUAGUAGCGCGAAUCGCUUCCGCAAAAAGAUACGAACCAAUACUUCCGCUGCGUUCGACAUAUUGGAAGAAAAAUAUCAUGUUGGUAGCACUAAUUUUGUAUAACUUGACACAUUGGAAGAAAGAUCAUGUUGGCAGCGUACCCGUAUCCUAGUCAGUAAAUUCGUGACUUAUUCAUGAAUUAUUGAAAAUUCGAAUUAAACGGUCCGUUUUAUGAAUUUAAAAAAAAAAUUAUUCACAAAUUUUUGGGCCAGUCGAAUUAUUCGCGAAUAAUUCGCAAAUUAUUGCCGAAUUAUUAAAAAUAUGAAGAAAAAACUUAUAAUUUUUAUUUUUAAAUAUAAAUUAUCUUAUAUUUUAUAUUUUAUACCAAUCCGUUUUUUAAGCCGAAUUUUUUAACAAAUUUAAAAAUUAAAAAAUAAAUUUUAUACGUAUUAUAUCCGUACCGAAUUUUUACCAAAUCCGAAUUAACUAACUAUGAUCCGUCGUCACCUUUUUACCUUUUUAAGCACUAAUCUAUUAAACUAUAUGAAUCCUCAAUAACUUUUGCCACGUGUCAAAUUUUUCUUCAUCCACACCUGAUCCUUCUCUUCCCUGAACCAAACCAUGUCUCUUAUUAAUUUUUGAACCGAACCGCCUCUCUAUUCUCUUUUCUGAACCAAGCCUCUUAAGUUCUGAACCAAUCCGCCUCUCAAUCCUUUCCCUUUUUUUCGUAUAGCAAGUAAUGUCUCCCCUUCUUCUCCGCGUUGUGCAUCGUUCCACCUCCCUCUUCCGACCUAAACACCAAGAGCCCCAAAUCCCUAGGGUUUUCGCUCCGGGAUAGAUACAAAUCACUUGCUCCAAUCUCUGAUUCCGGCCCCUAGAUUUUGUGAUGGAUGGGGUCUCUAUCCCUCGGGGUCGCUCUGUGGAAGGGAAAACACCAACCUAUGGAGAGAGAGAAACAGAGAGAGAUGAAUUCGUGAGCUGAUAAAGGAGACAACCCAACCUGGUUUCAAUGUCCUCCGCAAGCGCCAUUACUACAAAUUGCUAAAAUGUGGUAAUGGAAAACAUAUUAAUUAAUGGGUUCUAGAUGAUUAUUUUUGACUAGGUUAUUUGAAACAUAAAGUACGUCCCUUUAGGUUUCAUUGGUUUCAUAUUUGCCGAUCAAUGUUGAAUUUUUCUAGAGAUUUCAUAAAAUAGAAAAGACUUUAAAAUUUACUAUAAUACUCGCAAUGAAUGUUGGUUCAAUGGAGUGUGCUAACACAUAGAAAAACAACAACAUGAGAAAUCAAUAAAAAGCAGAGACUGCAAGCCAUAGAAGAGGGUACAAUUUGUAAGCAUCAUCUUUAUUCUUUGCACCUCAUUCUCUUGAGCAGGAUGGCAAUAUCUAUCAUCAAUUACUUGAAAUAUGCUUCUAAAAUUCUUUAAAGAUUUCAUGUUGGAGUGUGAUGUGCAGUUUCCUGUAUUUGCAUGUGUACAAGAUUUCAUGUUGGAGUGUGAUGUGCAGUUUCCUUUAUUUCAUGUUGGAGUGUGAUGUGCUUUUGUUUGUUUUGAUACUGCCUCAGCUGGUUCAGUAAGUAUAAGCAAAAUACAUGUGGCUACAUAUGAAACUAAUCAAAUUAUACUUCGAGAUUAUUGGGUAAAAAGUAUUUCUCUCCUGUUUGUUUUGGUGAACCAAGUUAUAUCUCUUUUUAAGGAUUGUGCCUUUUUUUCCAUUCUUUGUCUAGAUAAGUUUUCAACUAAGUUUUUUCCUUUAUGACGGGUCUCAUUGGAGCUUCUGUAUUCUGUUGUAGGUGAAAAUUUUAUAUGAUUCCAAACUAAUUUGUCAAAAAUAGUUUAAUAUUUCGUGAAUAAGUUCUUCCCAUCUGGGUAUCCGCACAGGUUUGGUAGCAUAAACAGAUCUGUAUUUGCUGCUUUUUAGUGAAUGUAGGAGUAUUAUUUCUUAUUGAAAACCAUAAUCUAUUAUGCAAUGUGAAUGAGGUGUACCUGACCUAUACCCAAAUCCAAGCACUCCAACAUUUAUCCAGUGCUGCAUUGUCUGUGCUGUCAACAUAAUUAAUUUGGAUUUGGAUUCUUCAGCGUCCAAUCCUACGGCAUGGGAAAUGAGUCCAGUGGUGAGCCCAUGAUCUCAGGCGACCUCAAGAUCAAUAUCAAGGGGAAGCACCUGAUCUUGGUAAAUGCCUUGCGUUUUACAAAUUUUUGACUUUUGUUUAGUGUUUAAUUCUAACUUGAUGUGAAUAUAUCAAUAAUAAAUAGGAUAGUGGACAAAAACUGAUACUUAAAAAUUUUAUUUUUUUCACUGAAAAAUCUAAUUUUUGCUUAUAUGUAAGUUGAUUGAGUUGCUUUAUAUCUUCUUUAUUUAGAAAUUUGUGUAAUGUUAGGAUGUACUACUCUUUCUUUUUUGCGGAAAACUGAUGAGAUAAUCUUUAGAAUUUUUUAUCAUUAUCUAUUUUUGAGUCAUGACGAAAAAAAAAAUUUUGCACAAUAAUAUCUGCCAGCUGAAUCGCGCGGGUUAACUACACCAGUAUACAUUAUUCCUCAUAGCUUUGCCACAUGGCAAUUCCACCUUCGUUCUUACCUUUUCCCCUUUUUUCACUCCAUGGCGCUUCGUCUUCCCAUCUCCUAUCUCCGCUUAAUGUUUCGUCUUCUCACUUAUUCAUUUUCUAAUUAAUGCAUUCAUAUGCUAAUUGUCAUAUGAACAAAUCACUUUCAUAAAAAAUAAAAAAAAUGAGUAAAAUAAAAUCUAUUCAUAUUCUUUUGUUUUUUCAUACGAUUUAUAUUUAUUGAUAUCUCAUUGCAACUAAAAAAUUUUUAAAAUUGUUAUUUUAUCAAUCUUUUAUAUUUUUUAUAGUAUUAGCCCGCCGCAAUGCACUGGUAACUUCACUAGUGUAUCUUUAAUUCUCAACUUUGAAAAUGAUACCAUUAAGUACUGAAUUUAAUUCUUCAAAAAAGACUUAUAACAAGCUAAGAAAGAAAAGCGCACACCAAAAAAAAAUAAAAAAAUAAUAAAAAAAAAAUUUCUCACAUCAGGAAGAAGUAGAUGCAUACAUACAUACAUGGCUAACACAUAUAUACAUGGAUAAUACAUUUUAAAUAACAAUAUGCUAAGUACGCCAACAUAUUUUCACACGUACAUUUAUAUGUUCACAUAGUGGUAGUAGCAGUAGGAAACACUGGAGACGCAGAACAACAACCUAUAGCUAAGCACAUGCGACUCCGCGACAACCAUGGGCUAACGUUUUACAUGUCCAGUAACAAGAAGGGCAGCACCUGCAGCUGCAUCCCCUACUGCGGCAAUCGCGGGACGCCACAGUGGGCGGAUCACAUUCCUGCCACUGCACUCACCGUAUUCCACGCCACUGCCGUCGUUGUUGCUGCUGCUCACGCCUAUCCCGUCGCCACCGUGCUUGUCUCGCCUCUCCAUAUUGAGAUACUUUCAUAUACGAGCACCAUGAGAGAGAGCCAUGAGAGUGAGAUGAUCAUGAUGUUAAUAAUGAGGAUGGGUAAAAGAUGAUCAUGAGAAGCAGCUUACUGAUUGGAGUGUCCUCCCCUUUUCAAGAAGCUUCUCCCCCUGCAAAUCUGCAAUAUAGCAAGUCUUUUCUUUUUUUUUUUUGAGAGAGAUAGGUAGCAUGUUAUCCGCUUCGUUUAUUUCAUUUAGAAAUAAACUUAGUUGGAAAUAUGAAUCUACUAGGAUUCGAACUUGGGACCUCGGGUACCAACUAUCAAACCCUUGGCCACUUGCGCUAGGGACGGUCGGUGCAAUAUAGCAAGUUAAGAUAGACAAACCGAAAUGAUUGUGCGCGUAAACUUAUUUUAAAAUGGUAGCAUGCAUGGUUAUCUUGCAUGUAAGUGGUUCUACGACUCUCUCGGGUUCGUUCCCUCAGCAAUUUUGAAGAUUUAAUUGAUCUCUAUGCUCUUAUCAUGCUGGUUCAAAUGCGUCGUUUAAGUAGAACUUUUUAGGAAGCACUAGCAGCCUUUUUUCACAUUUUUGUUAUCAUCCACUCAGUCUAUCCUACUGCAGCAAGAUAUUCAGGGGAACUUAGUUUGUGUUAGCUUCUCGUUACAGCAAAAGCAUAAGAACUUUGUUUGCCAAACACACGCUAUCUGUCUUCGGAGUAAAGAAGUUCAAAAUCCUAAGCCCUAACUUGCACAAAGUGAUGAAUAGUAUUAAAUGGUGGUUUAAGGAAUCAUGACCUCUUAGUCCUUGGUGAAGGUUGUUGAGAAUUUAUCAUGAGAAAUUAGUGGGAAUGCUAAAAACUGUUAGAAGAGGAUCAUUAGAUGCUGAUGGUAAUCAAACAAAGAAAAGAGAUUUGUUAGUGUGCAGUUAGAGCUGUCACACCCGAAUUGUUCUAUAACUUGUGGAGCGGUUUCUCUGCAAUGUGCGACGUAUAACUAGGGCACUUAUCUUGUCAACUUGGACUUGAGCAUCUUGGACCACAAUAUCGAAAGACAGCUUCUGCAAAUAGCUACAAACAAUUAAUAACGGGCUAGUUGUGCUUUACGAAGUGAUUUAACAACCAAGAUCUAUAUCUUCCUAAGUAGAUUAGUGCUUAUCUAGUCUAGUACAAAAUUAUGGACAUGGAUGCUAUGGAUAAAGAAGAUUCUUGACCUAAAAUUUCCCUUUGCAUCACCCCUAUCAAAGAUCAUAUUCUAGUUGUGAAAUGCUAUGCACGGUAGAGGAUAAGAAGAUUCCCAACCUAAAAAAUAGAAGUGUUUUUCUUUAAUUUUCCCCUCUGCAUUCCCCGUAUCUAAGAUCAUAUUCUAGAAGGUGUGAACUGCUAUGCACUAUACAUAAGUGCAUCAGAAAAUCAAAGUUAUCUAAGUUGAUCAAUUCAAGAGUUUUCACAUACCUUUUCCUGAAGCUCAGCAAUCAUAUCCAUCAUCACCUAAGUCUGUAUGCAUGCACAGCACAAGAUUAUAAAGUAAAAUCUGUAAAGAUGCUUUACCAUCUUCGCAAUUUGGCAUAAUAAAUUUGAACACAAUUUGGCAUAAAGAUGCUUAACUCCUCUUUUUUUUUCGUUAGAAGCCGAGAUGCUUCACCCUGUUGCUAAAUUCAAUUUCUUACUUAAUGAAGCGGUAGCAUACUACCUUUCUCUCAAAAAAAAAAAAAAAAAAAAAGAACCGUGGGUGCCAUUUUAAAGAUCUAUACUUCUUUCGGUAAGAAGUUUCUCAUCCAAAUCAUGAAAUUUUCCCGCUAAACGGGGUAACGUUUGCUAACCUUCUGGGUCGUUGUUUGUGUUAAUGCACCAUCCAGUUCACUUUCAACUUUGGUUGAGCUCAUCAAAGCUCAGCUGUGUGAUGUUUAAGCUAUAGUUCUGCUCUUAGUGUUGAAGAGCAAUUCAUCAAGCACUUCUGUAGUGUUGAAGAGCAAUUCAUCAAGGCACUUCUGUAGUUUCCCCAUUCUUUGAAUUGAAUUUGUCACCUCUUCUUCCUUGUUUUGAGCAAAUCUCAGGAUUAGAUGUGCACAUUAAUCUUCAUCAGUAGGAAAUCUCUGUAUUAUCUUACAAUAUGUUAUCUUUAUUUUAUUUGGUCUGGUGAUUGUGGCUAUGUUUCUCAUGUUCAGAAGUAUUCAUUUUGUUCAGAAAUAUAUCUGACAUUUGUGUGCAUUUAUAUCUGACAUUCGUUAACAUCCAUGCACCGAAAAGUCAAAAACAAAAAAAAAAAACAAUCUUCAAUACUGAUAAAAGAAGCAAAUCUUCAGUACUGCUAAAACAUGGGGAGGAUAAGGGAAUACUUCAAUACUGCAAAAACAAUCUUUGAACAGGUUUGAGCAUCCUGCUUCAAUUACUUGUUCAAUCGGACCAAAAGGAAAAAAAAAAAAAAGAAAAAGAAACCAUCAGUUCAUAGCAAAUCCAAAAGAGGAAAAGCUAUCUUCAAGACGCUCUGACACUUCAAGCAGCAGUCAAAGGGAACAGACGGAAUAUGUGGUUCAGCACCUGGUAGCUCCCCUGAUGUGUCGGCAUCAAAAUGAACAUCUACAGAAGUUAAAAAAAGGGGGAAAAAAAAAAAAAAAAAGCAAUUAGGUCCCUCGUCAUUAGCAUUUGAUACAUAUAGGUUGAUAGCAAUGACUGCAUAUACAAAGAAAAGCCUUACAUCAAGGUUAAUCAAAGAUGACUUUGGUGGAGGCGAAAAAAAAAGGGAUCACUACAGAAAAGUCAAAAACACAAAUAAAACACGGACGCAUGCUCGCAAAACAAUUGCACAUAUUACACACACGCACGCACGCACGAGCGCGCACAGCUUUUGAGGGGAGUUAAAUUCUUUGCCAAUGAUGCCAAACAACAAACUAUGCGCUUAUUUUGUCAUUUCAUUGAGCUUUUGAAUGGAGUUAAACUCUUUGCCAAUGAUGUCAAACAACGCACGUGUGCAACCAUUUUGUCAUUUCAUUCAAUUGGAAUUAUUGUAGUCAAAUUCUUCGCCAUGGUCCAAAGGUCCUAUCACAAUCAAUCCAAUCCUAGAGCUUCUUUGUUACAUAAUUACAUAAUUAACCACUUUCCUCGCAGAUUAAUAGACCCAGACGUACACUUGAUCAAUCAAAUCACUCUUGAGCAAAACCGUCUUCUUCACAACUUAUGAAGAUUCAAAAGUUUCUUUUAUUUUCCCAUCUAACCUAACUUCAUCAGCUUUUUUUAUUCCUCUUUUACAAUAGUUUAUCAUAUUUCUAGUUCAUCCAGCUCGUAGAAAAAUGAAAAAAACACACAAUAGCACAAGGGUCAAAUAUCUUUUUUCUAGAUACUUAGUAAUCCUAAAAGAGAACCUCAAAAUCAAUCUCUCAUCUAAAAGCUAUGGGGCGUGCCAAAUCCAUGCUUAAGGAGCAAAAAUUCUCCUUCUAAUCAUAGUAGCAAUCAAUAAGAUCGGAUUCAAAUCUCAAACAGGCGCAUAAGAUUUCCCCUAAAAGAACAAUUAACUAAGAAAGAAAACCCUAAAUUCAUAAUCCACAAAUGACCUCAUUCUCUAUUUAUUAAAAAAGAAAGUAAGACACAAAAAAAAAAAAACCCCCAAAAGAACAGAAGAACACAACACACGGAACCGUAAAACAGGCUCACCACAAGGAAAGCAUAGAAUGUAUAGGAGUAAAGGCACAUCAAUUAGUCUUUAUCUAGUAGGAUAAAAGACCAUUAUCUGAUCGGCAAUCAUCAUUUAAACAUGAUUGAGUGAACACCAUAUCAAAUAGGAAAAGAAUAAAUAAAUCUAACAAGGAUAUCUUUCUCCGGUUGCUUUAGCACCAAAAUAAGUUUAAAGAAGGAAAAUAGUGAAGGUAAAAACCAUAAAUCUGGCUGAUGAUCUCUUCCUCCAUUCUAAUUAUGCCGGCUUGGCAUAAAAGGAAAAGUAAAAGAAAAAAAAAAAAAAAACCCGGGAAAAAUCGACAAAAACAAAAACCCCUAGGUCCAUUUUCACCACAAGGAUCAAACACAAAAGGCACAAGAAAUGAAGUGCUAUCAAUCAAUCGAGUAAUCUAUCUCUUCUCUCUUCUUUCUUACUUAGAUUGGGGAGUAGAAUAUCGAAUCGAAGAAAAAAUAAAAAGCCAAACUCUAGAUGGAACCGAACACAAGAAUCGAAAGAAAGAAAGAAACUACUGACCUGGCUGAACAUGCUCUUGCUCUGGUGGUUUUCGCCGGCGAGCUGGAUGGCGCCGGAGACCGAGAGGAGCAAGCCACACUGGGGGCCACCCUGGGGGUCAGAGUCCUGGCAGCAGUCGACGUUGUAGAUGUCGUGGAGCUGGAAGGGGAGGGAGGCUAGCUUGGCGACGAUGGCCUGCGCGCCCUGGAUCUUGUCGCCCUCGAACGUUAGCAUCGACCCUUCCUGGUACAGCUCCCCCAGCGCCGCCCGGUUCCGGUUGAACGUCAUGCAGUAGUGCUCUACGAACUCCCGCGCCAUCACGUCCGGAUCGAUCGAUCGAUCGCUCGCUCGCUCGUCCAUUGUUAAGAAGAUGUAAAUGAUCACGAUGAUCUCUCUCUCUCUCUCUACUCUCGACAGAGAGGGAGAGGGAGAGGAAGAGGCAGAGGCGAACGGAGGAGAGGAGGGGGGCAGCGGCAGCGCUCCUUAUGUAUGAUGAUAAUAAUACAUAUAUAUAGGGAUAUAAAUGAGAAACCCUCCAAAGUCGGUGAUUAAUGGAUGUGCUAACCUACUUUCGCCCACCACCCUUUUUUUUGGUGCACCCGGUGUACCAUGUUUACUUUAAAAUUUUAAUUUUAAUUUUAAUUUAAUAUAAUAGGUAUAAUAUUUUAUUAUAUUUAAAAAAUAUAUGUAAAAAAUAAUUUUAAAUCUUAAAUUUUAAAUUAUUUUUUAUAUAUUUAGUUUUUCGUAUCAUCAUUUAAUUGUUGGUUAAAACUAAUAAUGUAUCCAAAUAUUUUUGAUUCGCUAAUUCGUCAUUAAUGAAUUGUGUUACAGGCCAGGUUGGAAAUACCAACAAAAUUCAGACGCUUCUAUUUAGUGCUAUUCUGUCUAACUGGGGGAAGGUAUGUUUCAAAAACUAAAUUGCAGUUAAUGAGGGAGGUUGCUGACAAAGUUGAUACGCAUCUUGAGCUUGCUCCUGCCCUCGGAGGUGAGCUCCGAAUGCAUCUCCGUAGUCAUGGCAUCCGCGAUCCGUCGUAGCUUUCCAAUAGGUGUGGCACACUGCUCCUUGAGCUCCCUCACUAUUGCCACUACCCUCACCCACCACCCCCAGCUCUGCAUUCAGUGCUGCACCACCACCUCAGCCACCGCGCACGCCGUCGCCGUCCUCACCGCCGCCUUUCCCAUCUCCUCUGACUAGGGGGAGAAAUAAAAUAUGUAGAUUAUACUUUGUACUUGAAAUAAUUGCUAUUUUUAUUAUUAUGGUGUGAUUUUUUGCUUCCAAAUCUUAUGUGAGUUUAUUUUAUUUGAUAUUUGAAAGUUUUUAUGUAUGGCAGACUUUUUUGUUGUUUAAAAUUAUUGAAUAUAGUUGCUUUCGUUUAAUUUUAGCUUCAAGUACUCUAAUUUUCUGAUUUCUUCUUCUUCUUUUUUUGCUUAUAUGGCAGUUGAUUGAGUUGCUUUAUAUCUUCUUUAUUUAAAAAUUUGUGUAAUGUUAGGAUGUACUACUCUUUUUUUUUUUGCGAAAAACUGAUGAGAUAAUCUUUAGAUUUUUUUAUCAUUAUCUAUUUUUGAGUCAUGACGAAGAAAAAAAUUUUGCACAAUAAUAUUUGCUCGCUGCAUCGCGCGGGUUACCUACACUAGUUCUAUAUAAUUUGACGUACUGAAAAAUUUUAAAAAAAAUAAUAAAAAAGAAAAAGAAAAAAGAGAGGUAUUGAUAGCAUCUUUAAUUAAUGAUCACGCAAAAUUUAAAAAUACAAAUAAGACCUAUGCCUAGCUUGGUAGUUUGGUACCAUGGCUAUUUUCUCAAUUUUGUAAGCACAUACUAUAAAAUUUAAUGUGUAAUGAAAACAACUUUAUUGUUUUUUAACUUAUUAGCUCACAAUGCAUUCCACUAAGAGAUAGAUGGCCAUUUAUUUUAAAAAAAAAUUUGGAAGCGGAAACAAAUUGUUUUCAAGUUUUAUUUAUUGUUGUUAAGUGAAAAAUUAUGGAUGAAAAAAAUUAUAAACAAUUCGCUAUCCACUCUUCCACUUUUUAAUAUACAAAAAUUUUAUUUAAUAAAGUAAAAAAUAAACUUUUUUUUUUUUUUUUUGCAUUUAUUCAUAUCAAAUUCUCUUACUCAACAUAGAAGCUUACAAAACCUUUUAAAUAUAUAAAAAUAGACAUUUGAAAUUUUUAUUUGUAAAAAUAAACUGAUAAAAGCAAUAAAUCAUUUACAGCAUUGUACCCUAAUUUAUAUAUUUCCUACAUCCAAACUUCAAAAUAUAUAUAGUAUUAAACACUAAAGAUAAGAUGGAUAAAUCAUUCACCGUAUAGAACUAAUUUUAUAAAGUUCUUAAAAAUUUUAUUUUUAUAAUUAUAAUAUUUUCUAAGUGUAUUAAUAAAAAAAAAUUCCACCCAUUAUGUAAAAAUAUUGAGGAAUAAACCAAUAUUCCGCCUAUAAGGCAAAGGCGAACUCACACAAUCGUCACAAUCGAAAUCCGUAAACACUGUAUCUAUAAAAAGCUCGAGAUUUUUAAAUUAUGGUUAGCAUCAACUAUCCAACAGAAAAUACUCAAAAAAAUGGCACAGCAAAAGGAUCUCUGUAACUGCUUUACCUGUCAGACUGGUACAUGAAUUUUCCUGCAAAGGCAAAUGUUUGACAGAAGUAAUUCUAUUCUGCACAAUUUACCCAGCAUGAAGGCAGACUGCCUGUUUGAUCCCGUUUCUGCUUCUGCUUCCGACGGCAGUAGGAUGGCGUAAAGCAUUUGACGAACAAAAAGUUUUAAACUUUCUGCUGCGGUGAAAAGCAGAAAUGAGAUUGUAAAGCACAAAAGCAAGAGCUCUAAUUUGAAACUGUAACUCUGCCGUUAAAUAGAAGCCAAAUAAAGCACUACUCAAACAGCACUGAACCCAAACAUAAAUCAUGUUUAGCCUAUAAACCAUCUAAACAUAUAUUUCAAAUUUAAAGUGCAAAAAGGAGCUACAAGGAACCCUAAAAAAAUCUAAAUAAAUCCUUUCCGUUCGCACGAAACAAUGAAAAGACAAAAGCCACUAAGAGCAUUCAAUCCAACACUCCAUCUUAAAACACAGCAUCCGAAGCACAUUCGCAGCUAUUUAAAAGCAAAAAAAAACCAUAGAAUUAAAGCAUUACCAUCACGUGUUAACUUUGCGCUUUUCCUAUUUUUUAACUUGAAAUAAACAAUCCCAAAGGAUUCAAUUGCAAUAGCAAUUGUGCGACCGAACAAGAAUGCGAGAGUACGAAAGAAGGCGCGAUAUUUUUUUCCUGCUGAAAAAGACAAGUAAAUGAAGCUCAGUGCAGAUAAUCACACUUAAAUAUCAAAUUUAAGGAUUGAAUUAAGGAGUAAUUACUAACCUCAACUGUUUCAAGGAUACGGGAACCAAAAGCUAAAGUUUAAUAUGAAUUAUUGCCUUCUCUCACUCUUGUAGAUUUUCGAAGCCAAUUGAAAGCCAACCACCGACAGCGAAGGUAACUCUUCACGAGCUCAUUCUUCAUUCUUUUUUUUUUAAUCUUUUUCUCCUUUUCUUCUUUUUUUGUAGAUUUUUUCUGAUAUAUUCGUCUUUUUUUUUGUGGUUUCCAUUAAAUAAUCUGAACACUGGCUUGUUGAAGCUCAUCGGCCACAGCGGACAGAAAAAAUAGAAAAACGCCGACUAGCCAGAUUUCAACCAGCUGCAGAGCCAGACAAAAUCAAAAGAAAAAGGAAAAAAAAAAAAGAAAAAGAGAGCAAUAAGUCGAAUAAUUUCUAUUCCUCCUCGACAACGUCUUCUGCAUUGUGCGGAAGGUCAGCGCAGUCGCAACAAAUGUAAUCGAAGAAAAAGGUUUCGUCCCAGUACUCCCCAUCCUUAAUGCACUUCCCGCACUUAACACACCUUUUAAUGCAAGAUUCACAAGCCCUGCAAAGAUCCAACCCUCCUCUACAGCUUUCCCUAGGGCAAUCAUAGACAAGCCGGCAUCUAUAGCACUUAGGGCACAUCUCGACAUCGAGCGGGCGCUCAUCGCCACAAUCUAAAGAAAAGCGAUCGACGUGAAAGAACCACAGCUUUUUUUUAGCAUUUGGUUUCUGAAGUUGGUUUACGCCUAGUAAUAACUUGAUCUGUUCAAACUGUUCCUUUGAUAUGCGGAAGAGCCGGCCAAGUCUGAGGUGUUUUAUUCCGGAAGAACCUGACGAUUUAAAAGCUGUCAGGUUGCUGAUGAGACCGGGUGUUGUCAGACCCGUACAUUCCAGGAGAUUCAACUGCAUGACAAAAUAAGAUGCCAUUUUUUUUAUGACAAGAAAUAAUGAAAAGAAAAAGAAAUACAACAGAAUAUCAAUAUACACAACCGACAAUUGGUACCCACUCUACUCGACAAUUAUAUAGAGAAAAAUAGUUCAUAAGCUGCAUAAAAUCAUAAUAUUAAUACCCAAAACCAUCCUAACAAUAAAAGCUCGCUAUGUUUCCCAAUCACUGGAGUAAACUGUUAGCUAAUAUAUUGAAGCAAUAGAUGAUGGAUUCGCCUGAAAGGGGAGUUUAAGAAAAUCAAAGGUCGUCCUUAACAUGCUGACAACCAAAAUAAAGCUCUUUGGCACCACAAAAAUUUGACUGAGAAUCAAUAGAAAGUAGGAAACUUAACACAAAACCAACUCUACACAAAAGUAAAUUACUUGAGCCAAUUAUAAUCGAUGCUAGACUUGAUCCACCAAAUUACACUCAAUUUAGCGUACUGAGCCGAUGUACAUUUCCCCAAUGUGUUAGACCACCAAUUUACUGGUGGCUCGUUUAGUAACACGAUGGGUGAAACAGAGCAUUCGAAACGAAAAGUUUGGCCCAGAUAUGCAAAUGCAAUGCUCGAACAAAUAAACUCCAAAAAACUACAUUUUGGUCUAAUAGAAUAAGCAAUAUCAAGGCAAUCAAGCACAUUCAGAGCUCCGGAAUAUCAUUUCCCAAUAUUUGCAGUGUAUCUGCAAUAGAACAAAGCAUACCAUUGUUACCAAUCAAAACCAAUGCAUAUUGUCCUUUUUUCUUCUUACUAUUGUCCUUUUUCCUUCUUACUCUUGUUGUUUUCUUAGUUGCUUCUUGUCCCAAAUAAUAUAAUUUUUGAAUAUGUGGUAUGAAAUAUACGUCUUUUCCACAGGAAAAUUUUUUUUAAAAAAAUCCCAGAAUAAGUUAUAAGAUCAUUUAAUUGUUAUGUUAUAAAAAUAGAUAGUGGUUGGAAGCAUCAGCUAAUCGCUACAGAAAGUUGGAUAGCCCAAGAUAAACGAUGUUGCACAGUAAGCCUUGCAUUCUACAUGAUAUUCCCGUAAGAUUUCAUUAACAGACUUCAAUCUAAAAUUUACUCAUAGAACUUCAGUCCGUACCAACUCUGCACCAAUCGGUACAUUAAUUAUCAAAAAUUACAUGUAAAACAUUCAAUGUUUUUAAGAGAAAGUAGUCUAUAGAUAUCCAGGUGCACAUGGACUUCAAAGUAAAUUAAACGAUGUUUUAAAACAUAAUGAAAAGAAAUUUAAAAAUAAGCAAUAAGUAAAGAGAAACACAUACAAUAAACAACAAGAAUAAGAAAACAUAAAACAACAUACCUAAAUACAUAGAGUAUAUAACACAUCGAAUUCCCAAGUAACUUUUCAAGAACAUGUACUAAGAAUGAAAAAGACGAAUAACCAAAUAUGAUUGUCAAGUUUCCAAGUAGCCCAUCACAGAAGUGCCAUGCUAAACCGACUUUUAUAUGCUUAAAAUUAAUGAUAGUAGGCAGGUUGCUCAUGUGUGUACUAUAUCGCACCUAUGCCACAUGCUGAGCCAUCAAUGCAAAUUGCAGAGUGAUAAAGCGACUACACCACAUAGGCUGGCGCAUAUGUGGGUACAUGAACAGCAUCUUUAGAGAUCGUAAAUAUGUGGUAAUUAAAAAAGUCAUUUAUUUCUCUUACAUUGAGCAAGAGCAGAUACAGAUUAACAAACUUGCUUUGCUGUAACAUCAGGGAAAAGCAAAAUUACCACCUUGGGUGAAAAAAAAACUACAAUCUGAAUGUAUGAGCAAUAUAUACUCGCAUAAAACUCAUUUUGCGCUUGUACUUUACGCAUGCUUCAUAAUUAGUGAUGACUUCUAUGCACGGCAUUAACUAAUCAAGCAGUAAAAUGAAUGGCGAUAUCUCCAAAUGAACUGACUAAGAUCACAAUCAAUCAAUAAAUAAUUAGGAUGCCUAAGAGAGCUAUAAAAUUUGCAAACAGAACGAGUUUCAUCAUGGACAAGUGGUAUAGUUUGUGCUGUUAGGCCCAAAUUUUAAUCAUGCCCGACCCGUAAGAAAGGAAGGGGGAAAGAUAUUCUUAACGAUUAUUACAGUAGAUUAUACCUCAAAAUAAGAGAAACAAUUUCACGAACAAUCCAAACCUAAAAAUAGCAACGAACUAUGGCAAUAAGACAGGCGUUCUAUGUGAUUCCAAAGCAUAGCAAUGCAAGAUACGGAAGAAGCAUUAUAACCAAACAAUAAAGCAACAAUUCUCUUCAGCACAGAAUAAAAAAAGAAAAGGCAUUUCAAAAAUACCUUGCUCAGCCGCGGAUUAGCCGCAAGCACGCGCUUGAGACCGUCGUCAGUGAUCCCUACACAUCCAGGCAUGCUCAAGCACCGCAAACUGCCUUGGGCCCUCUGCGUCAGCGCAAAGAAAGCAUCGUCUGGGAUCUUACGAUUGAAAUCGAGAUCUACAUGAAUGCACCUCCAAAGAAGGGGAUCAUUUCGAACGGCAUAAUAAAGAGAUUUGCAGACCCUCUCGACCGAAAGGAGAUCCUUAACUCCCAGCUUACCAAGAGCAUAAAACAGACCCUCAUGGGGAACACCCACUUCCGCACUCGUAGCCCCAUUUUCGGCUUCACAGCCACCUCUGUAACCGAUCUGGGAUUCGAAUGCCGCAUUGCAAUAGCAACCGGAGCCAUCCAAAGAAUUAUCUUCAACUACAGCAUCACCAACCCGAUAAUUAACGGCGGGAUCGAAAGCGUUUUCCGGAUUCAUCUCAAAAGGAUCGGACGGCAAAAGCUCGACCAAAUCGACGAAAUCAUCCACCCCUCCGAACGACAUCGACAACGACGAAUUCAGGGGCAUCAACUCAACCCCUCCAAAAACCCUAAAAUCUAAACCUAAAAAUUUCCUUUUUCAACCCAACACAAACUACUUGUUUCUUAUUCUUUCUCUCCUGCAAACCCUCGAUUUCCGAUUGCAAUCGAAAAAAAAAAAUUUACCAAGCACCGAAAAUCUCACUGGAUCUCUCGAACAUUACCACAUCUCAGAUUAAAUUACAUCAAUAGCAUAAGAAUCAAAGAACAUGAGAAACUCAAACAAACCCUACAAACCCUAGCGAUGCUCCCUCGAUACCAUCAAGCUCCUAAAAUCUCAUCAAACUAACAAAUAAACAACUCCAGAAUCGAUCUAAAACAGCAGAAAGAGUAGAAAAGGUAAGGAUUUUUUGGUUACCAAUUAGAGAUAAUUACGAAACUUGGAUUGAAAUCGACCGAUCUAUUAGGGUUUGAUUGGAGGGGAGGAGCUCCCAAACCCUAAAAUAGAGGGAGAGGAUGGAGAGGAGCCCGCGAAGAUCUCUCCUUAGAGAGAGAGAGAGAGACAGAGAGAGAGAGAGGAGGAGGAGGAGGAGGAGAGAGAGAUUUUCUUUUAUUUUAUUUUAGUUUACCAAAAUAUUUUUUAUUUACUAAAAUUAGGAAGAGAAGGGGUAAAAAUGUCUAGAGACCCUCCAAUAAUUUAUUAUUUACAAAUAGACUCAAUUUGUUUCUCUUGAUUGAAGCCCCUCUAACUUUUGAUUUUUAUUUUUACAAAAAAAGAACUUCAAAUACCACCCCAGUAUUUCCGCAUGUUCUCACUUUAGUAUUUUAUAAUUUAAACCGUAUCACUUUAGUAUUAUGUGAUUUUAUUUUUUUCUUUUCGUUAUCCUCUUUAUUAAUUUUUUUGUUAAAUCAAUAAAAAGUUAAAAUUAUAGAAUACUAAAAUAAAAAUUUCGUAAAUCACAGAAUAUUAAAGUAAUUAUUUGAUAAACUACAGGGGCAUUUGAAGUUUUUUUUAUAUAUAUUUUAACAGAGAGUUAAAUGAUAGAACGACGGAAAGAAAAAAACGAAAUCACAGAGUACUUGAAUCUACAUAGUAUUAAAGUAAAAAAGUGCUAAUCGGGAUAUUUGAAGUUUUUUAUUUUUCUAAUUAAAUUUGCCAAUCAAAAUUAGUAAUAAUUUUAUUAAAUUUGACUACUCUGUCUAUAAAUAUUGAUGCAAUUUUUUAUUUUUUUAUUCAAUUAAUAUAAUGAUUUCGAUAAAUGUAACUAUUUUGAAUGCUUUUAGUUGAUUAAACUGAAUAGCUGAGAGUUAAUGUCGUCAUUAAUUUUUAACAAAUUUUUAAUUUAUUCCAAAAAAAUAUAAUUUAAAUUAUUUAUAAUUAAACGUUAAAGGGAAAGUUAGAGGACCUAUUUCAAAUUUCUCUAUAAGUGAGGGGUCAGGAAAAAUUAGAGUGAAGCAGUGGCAACGACACGUGUAAAGCACGAGAGGGGCUUCGGUGGCAACGACACGUGUAAAGCACACCGAGUCCUCUUUAGCCGUUGGAUCAUCAAUCGACGUUGAUUACACGAUCAAAUAAAUUCCCCGAUUUUGGUUUAAAUAAUAUCUAUUCCGUUCGAGCUCUGAUUCUUCUGGAACCGUUGGAUCAUAAAUCGACGUUGAUUAGAUGAUAUUCUUAGAUACUUCAAAUCUGGGUCUAAAUUCGUGUAUCUGUGUUGGGCCGUACUUGGCCCAAUGGUUAAUUGCACGAUUGGUCCUCAACUUAUGAGGGCGUGACAUUUCGAUCCUCAAACUUUAAUUUAUUCUAAUUUCUGACUCAAACUAUCAGAAUUAAUGUAAUCAAGUUUCAUAAUCUAAUUUAGUCGACGAAAUGAUAACGCAUCGACACAUCUUAAUUUUUAUUAUAUCAUCAAUUACAAUAAUUACACACCACUUUUACAUCAAUAAUUUAUCAAUAUUAAGCCCUAAGGGUGGCAAUUCGGCUCGCUGUUAGUGAGCCAGCUAAUGUUCGCCUCAAAAUGGGCUUGAAAUCGAAUCGCUUAUUUAAAACAAGCCGAGCACGAACUGAAUUUUCCAGCUCGUUUAAUAAACGAGUCGAACGUGAGCUGGGUCAGCUUGCUCGUGAUCGGCUCGAUAACAGUUCAAAUACAUACAUAUAUAUAUACAUAUAUAUAUAUAUAUAUAUAUAUAUAUACACAUAUAUAAUAUAAAUUUUUAUUAUUUGGUUUUUAGUUUAACCUAAAUAUAAAGUCCAACUCAAUUAUAAAAAAAGUCAUUUAUUUGUAAAGUUUUAACUAUUAGAUCAAAGACAAAUGGAUAAGGUCUCAUAAAUUUAUUUUCUAUACGUAUUUUUCAUAAUUCUUUUAACUUGUUAUUCAUGAGCCAGCUCGUGUUUGGACACGAGCUGAAUUUUUCGGCUUGAUACUUUAAUGAGUCAGAUUGUAUUCAGCUCGUUUAUGAAACGAGUCGAAUAUGAGCUGGCCUCAACUCGCCCGUGUUCGGCUCGUUGACACCCCUAAUUUAGCUAACUAAAUUGGGUUGUGGAACUUGAUUGUUUUAAUUUAAAAAGUUCUGCUUAAAGGUUACAACAAGCUAGAGUUUGAGAACCGCAAGUGUUACCUUACCUAUAGUUUGAGCCUGUUAGUUAAUUCGCGAAUUACUGAAAAUUCGAACUAAACGGUUUAUUUACGAAUUUUUUUCAAAGAAAGAGAAUUAUUCGCGAAUUUUUGGGCGAGCCGAAUAAUUCGCGAAUUAUUCUUGAAUUAUUAAAAAUUUGAAUAAAAAAUUUAUAAUUUUUAUGUUUAAAUAUAGAUUAUUUUAUAUAUUAUAUCUUAUAUUUUAUAUUUUAUACCGAAUCCGUUUUUUAAGCCGAAUUUUUCAAUAAAUUUAAAAAUUAGAAAAUAAAUGUUAUACGUAUUAUACCCUUUUAGGCUGCGUUUGGUUGGAGGGAUAUCCCAGAACAAAGCGGGAUAUCCCUCCAAACACAAUGCAUUUUGGAACAAUCGGGUUGUUCCCGGCUUAACGGGUUGUUCCAGAAACAACCCGGUAAGCUUGUUCUCCGGAGAACAAGCCGGAACAAGAGAUUUGGGCUUUUUUUUCUUUUUUUUUUUCUGGCCUUUUAAUUUUUUAUACUUUAUUUUAAUUAAUUUCAAAUAAAUUAAAUGAAUGCUCAAAUUUAAUAAAUAAAUAUAUUAAUAUAAAUAUUAUUUUUAUGAUAAUAAAUUUUAUUAUAUAAUAUAAAUUAAUUAAAUUUGAUAUAUAUUUUAUUUUAUUAAGUUUUAUCAUUUAUAUAUUAAUAUUUAAUUAUUUUAUUUUAUAUUAAUUAUUAUAUACAUAAAAUUAUUUUUUCAUAUAUUAUAUAUAAUUUUUUAACUUGUAUGAAAUUUAUACUUAAAUUUUUAUGAUAAUUAUUUAUACUUAAUUUUUAUAUAUAAUAAUUAAAUUAAUUAAAUUUGAUAUAUAUUUUAUUUAAUAAGUUUUAUCAUUUAUAUUUAUGAUUUAAUUAUUUUAUUUAUAUUAAGUAUUUAUACGUAAAGAUUUAUCAUAUAUAUAUAAUAUUAUAUUAUAAUAUAUUAUAGUAAAAUGUACGUGCAAAUGCCCGUAAUAAUUAUUAGAAAAAGUUAUAAUUUUUUUAAAUUAUUUUUUAAUUUUAGGCAUAUUUUAUAUGAUUGCCAAAUAUGUAUCCUAAAUAAAUUUAAAAUUAAUAAAUCACGCUAUUAAGAAAGAUAUGCUUAAAUGAUAAAUAGUUAACAAUAAUCAUCUAAUGCAAAAAUUACUUUUGAAAUUAAUAGAAAAUAAAAUCUGUUAGAAAUAAAUUUUUGAAAUUAAAUAGAAAAUAAAAUCCGUUAUCUUUAAAAAAUAUAUAUUUUGAAAUUAAAUAGAUAAUAUCUAAAAAAAAUUUUAAAUAAAAUAGAAAAAUAUCUUUUAUAAGAUUUUCACACUCGUAAUCUGUUAUAGAAAACUUACUUUUGAAAUUAAAUAAAAAAAUUUUAUAUUUUAGAAUUUUCACAUCUCUAAUCUGUUAUAAGAGAACUUACGUAUUCAUUACUGUUUUUUUUCUAUUUUUAUUCUUAUAUUUAAAAUUUUCGUACGAAAAGAGGAAAUGGGCGCUAAUUUUUCCGCCGAAAAAUGGGUCUGUCGAUCAGACCCAAAUUUAAAUAUACGUGCUUUUAUAUAAGUAUAGAUAUAUAUAUAUAUAAUUAUAUAUAUAUAUAUAUAAUAUAUAUAAUAUAUAUAUAUAUAUAUAUAAUUGCAUUGAAUUUAUACUUAAAUUUUAUGAUAAUAUUUAUACUUAAAUUUAUUAUAUAAUAUAAAUUAAUUAAAUUGAUAUAUUUUUUUUUAUUAAAUCUCUAUCAUUUAUAAUUUAAUAUUUAAUUAUAUAUAUUUUUUUAUUUUAUUAAAAAUUUAUACUAAAUUUUUUUUUUUUUUUUUGUUUAAUUAAUUAAAAUUAGAGGAUAUUGUUAGUACUAUACUUUAAUUCAUUAAUAUAUAUGAAUAAAUUUAUAGAAAAUAAUAUACAUAAAUAAUUAUACAUAAAUAAAUUAUUAUAUAUAAUAAAAUAAAAUAUAUUAUUUUAAAUUAGAUUCUUACAUAAAAUAUUAUAUUAUAAAUUACUAUAUGAAAUAAUUUUAUAAAUAAUUUUAUAUAAAAUAUACUAAUAUAAAUUAAUUAUUUUAUUUUUAAAAAUAUAUUUAGACGUUGUUCUAGACUUUUUAUCCAAACGCUAUUAAGGAUAUCCUCUAGAAUAUCCUCGAAUGCAUCCAAACAUAAAUUCACAAUUGUUCUAUCUUAUACCGAAAUAUCCCCUGUUCUCGGGAACAACAAAAGUUGUUCUCCAAAAUUUAGUUCUCAGUUUUACUGAAUUUUUGCCGAAUCCAAAUUAACUCACCAAACGUGCAAUCUACCCUUUUUAUUUGUGAGGGAAAUAGACUGUUGUUGUUCAUUGAGCUUAAUUACAGAAAUUACGGCUUAGUUUGGUAUUACAAAGAAAUUGUAUUUAUAUGCAAUGAAAAAGUGAAAAAGCUGAAUGAAAAAAUAUUUUUGUUUCCAUACGUAAUAUUAUAGAAUACUAAAGUUAUACUAAAGUGAUUAUGAAAUAUUUUUUUUGUAGUUCCACAAAAAGAGAAAAAAGCAAAUCCCUACGCACUUUAGUCCCAAAUCCCUUUUGCCCAAUAGUGCUGGAUGGGCCCCAGUAUGCAAGGAGGAGAUUAUAAUUCAAAAUAAAAGAAAGGCGAAAAACGGCAAUUUAGGAGCCGUUUGGUUGCAUAUAGCUGCAACUGCACUACAGUUAUAAUUAUAUAUAAAUAUAAAUUUAGUGUUUUGUUUAAUAUACUUAACUUCAACUGCUGCAGUAGGAACUACAGGAGAAGGUCCAACUACAGUAGUUAGAAUUAUGCACAAAUUGGCCGCAAUUCCAACUGUAGCAAUUGAAGAGAGUAACUUUAAACAAAAUAUAUGCUGACCUCCUUAAUUAUUUGUUAAACGAAAAUAUUUUUUUUCACAUUGGAAGUAAUUUCACCAUCAUAUAUAUAUAUAUAUAUAUAUAUAUAUAUAUAUAUAUAAUGAUAAAAUUUUAAAAGUUAUUUUUCACGUGCGUGCAACCAAACAAUUUUUUUAUAGUUGCAGCGCUUUCUACUACAUCAAAUUAAACAGGAUAUAUAAAGUUACAAUUAUUGUAUUUUUAAUUACAUGUGUUUUUAACUAUACUGUAUUUAUAAUUAAUUUUCUCCAAUUUCAAUUAAAUUGGAGAAAAUUAAUUACGCUAGGAGCUUGACGUAACUUAAACUCAGAACCUCCUGCUUUGAUAUUAUAUGAAACAACCGUUGUAUUCUAAAAGCUUAACCUGUUCGAGAACGAUGUUUAUAUAACUUUGUAUUUAAUAUAGAUUGAGUUGUAUCAUAUCAAAUUAAAAUUUGGAUAACAAAGUAUCAGAGCUCACAUUAAGUUCUUUACCAACAUCCACCAUGCAGAUGAAUAGGAAUAAAUUACAUUCAUCUAACUUACACCAUUUAGGUGAGCGAAAAAUAUUAAAACUAGCUCUGAGAUGUAUCUGGCCAUAUGGAUCUUUGGGGUUUCAAUUGGAAAUAUCAACGGGUUGGAUUUGGGUGAAUUUUCAAAAAAUCCGUAUCCGAACCUAACUCCAAAUUCGAAAUCCGAAUCCGACUGGUUUUAAAAAUUCAUAUUCAAACCCGAGCCCGACCAAAAAUCUGAAAUUCGAACCCAAACCCAAACCCGAAAAUCCAAACCUGAAAUAAUUAUUCCUCUUUUCAAUAUUUCAAAAUAUAUUAUAUUAUAUCUAAAAUUUUAAAAUAUAAAUUCAAAUAUAACAUCAAGUUUUUAUAUACAUAUAAUAUGUAAUUAAAAUAAAUUCAGGUUCAAGUCGGGUUCGGGUUUGGGUUCAGGUUCGAAUUCGGGCUGGGUACAGUCAAAAUUAAUAUCCGAAUUCAUAUCCGUCAGAUUUUUAUUUUUCAUAUCCAUAUUCAAAAUCAUAUCCGUUUAGUACCAGAUAAAUCUACUCCCGAUUCGAAUUCGGAUAAAGUUUUGAACCUCCGUAUCCGUUGAGAUCCCUAGUUUCAGUACCUUUUGAUCCCAUCCCACACCUUUUUAAGGAUUCAUUUAAUAUUCUAUUUAAGAUGAUGACCAAGGACAUGAAAUGAAGCAACAAUAAAUGGAGCGAAGUUUACAAAGUUAACCCUAAUAAUCCAUGUUAAUAACAAAACAAAACCCUUCUCCUACAAAUAUGCAAAUAAUCUAAAAGAUGAAACCAAACAAAAUAACCCAAAAUACAAAUGAAUAUGAACACAAAAUAUAGGACAAAACAACCCUAAAUUUUCAAAGUUUGUCUCUUCUUGUAAUUAAAGAUUUGUAUUGUGAGUUGUGAGUACCUCUUUGUGAUCUUCUCCACAUGUAUUUUGUGGAUAAAUCCAACUUGUUUGUAUCCCAAGUGAUAUCACCCCCUUUUUUUUUCUUUUCUUUUUUUUUUCUUUUUUUGCUUCUCCCCCAUUCUCAAAAAUUCUUAUCAUAUCACAACUUCAUAAAAUGGUUGAGAAGAUCAUGUGGAUGGAAACUUUUCAUGUACACAAGUUUUUAACUCUUCAUGGCAAUGUAUGGACCAUGCAAAUUGCAAUUAUGUGUAUUUUAGUCAAAAUAAAACUAUUCGAAAAAGCACCAAAAUUAUAUAUUUAUUUGCUUUUAUCUAAGCUUUAAUUUGCUUCUCAAAUUUCCCCCAUGGUGAUUCAAAGUUUCAAACUUUCCAAAAUACUUUUACUUUAGUCUUUGUUCUCAUUUACUAGUAGUAAAGAAUAACUAUUUUUCUGUAGCUGUCGUAUUAUAUAUAUAUAUAUAUUUGUGUACCAUAUAUUUUAUAAAUCUACACUCCCCCAGAUAAAAGAUACGACGCUAAGAUGGUGUUCUCCCUGAGAUGCAUUGAAACGCAGCAGUUGACUGGACAUCUAGGCAUAAAGCACUGUUUCGAUGCGAGCUACGAGAGCACUACCAAAUCGAGGCAAAUUCUGAAUACUAAUACCUAAAUAUUAACAUAUUAAAUAUAGAUUUUUUUAAAAAAAAAGGCUCUAGAAAGGUAUUACAAAUUAUGUUACAAUCAAAAUGGCUUUUCUGUAUAUGAGUUUAUUUUUUUUAAAAAAAAAUAAUUACUUUAGAAGCUUCAAUAGAAGAUUUUGUUUUCUUUUGGCAGGGCCAAAAGCUAUUUGGCCAAAAGCUAUUUUGCUUUUAGUAAUGUUUCAAUAUUUCUAUCAUAAGGAGCAAAGAAAAGUGCUCCAUUAUCCAGCUUAAAAAAAAAAAAAAAAAAUCACUUCUACUUUUUGAGUGUCCCAUACUCCCAUGUGCUUCUCUUCUCUCCUUAACACUCCUCACAUUACCACAUGUGCAAAACCAUGCUCUCUUGUAGUUUCUCUCUUGUGCUUUUCUUUUUUCUUUUUUUUUUUUUUUUUUCCCCACCAUUCUCUCUUUUUUUAUUUUUUAUUUUUUUGCUAAAUUACACUUGUAGUUUUCUAGGCUGUAAAAGCUGUGACACUUUGGUCAUUAGUUUCCAAGUUUUAGUUUGUUAUAAUUUUUUAUUUAAAUUAUUUAAACUUACUGUAAUCAAAUCCCACAACUUAGAUUAGUUGGUUAAAAGUUAGCGUUCCGCUGAUGUGAAAAUAAUAUGGUAAUAUCAUAAUUGAUGUCACAACAGCAAUUAAAAUAUCAUAUCUUUUUCAAAUUAGCGACACGUUAAUAUUUAAUCAACGAAAUAAAAUUAUUAAUCUCGAUUGUAAUAAUUUUUAAAAAAUAAAUUAUAAAUUAUAAUAAAUCAAAAUUUGAAAACUAAAAUAUCAUGCACCUAGUUUCUUUUUUUCUUUUUUCUUUUUUUGAGAGAGAAAGAUAGCAUGCUACCCGCUUCGUUUAUUUCAUUUAGAAAUAAACUUAGCUGGAAAUGUGAAUCAACUAGGAUUCGAACUUGGGUCUCGGAUACCAACCACCAAAUUCUUUGCCACUUGCACUUGGGACGGUCGGUGUUUCUAUUUUUUACUUCUCCUCAUUCUUUACAAAUAAUUUUGUGUUCACCGAACCGACUGUCCCUAGUACAAGUGGCAAAGAACUUGAUGACUGUUAUCUGAGAUUCCAAGUUCGAAUACUAAUUGAUUCGAACUUGGGUCUCGGAUAUCGACCACCAAGUCCUUUGCCACUUGCACUAGGGACGGUCGGUGUUUCUAUUUUUUACUUCCCUCAUUCUUUACAAAUAAUUUUGUGUUCACCGAACCGACUGUCCCUAGUACAAGUGGCAAAGAACUUGAUGACUGUUAUCUGAGAUUCCAAGUUCAUAUACUAAUUGCUUUAUACUUUUAGUUAAGCUUGUUUUAAAAAAAAUAUAAACGAAGCGGGUGGGCGAACUGUUUAUCCAGUGGAUUUCAUAUUUUCAGUUAAGCUUGUUUCUAAAAAAAUUUAAACCGAGCGGGCGGAUGAACUGUUUAUCUAGUGGAUUUUAUAUAUCUAGCUUAUUUUUAAAAAAAAUAAAUAAAACGGAUGGACAAACUAUUUACCCAGAAAUAAACUUUAUAUUUUUUAUUAAAUUUAUUUUUAAGAACAAUAAACGAAUCCAGACGACGAACUGUUUAUCCAGUGGGCUAGGGCUGAAUCUAGUUUUCAUUAAAAGGGCUCUUUUAUUGCUCUGUAAACUCACAUGCACUCUCUCUCUCUCUCUACUGUGCAGUAAUCUCUCUGCUCUUUUCCACCCUUGCAGAUGCUGAUACUCUGCUCUCUCUCUCUCUCUCUCUUUUUUCCAGUUUCUGUUCCAGUUUCUGAUCCCUCACACACUCUUCCUGAGCUGCUGGCCUGCUGCUCCUCUCUCUCUCUCUAUCUCUUCUAAUCUCCUAACCACACAUCUUUGCUGCAGAUCUUAAUCUGGUUUUUCUCACUUCCUCUUCUAACUCUCUCUCUUUCUCUUUCUCUUUUUUUUUUCUGCUUCAAUCUCACACACAAGAAAAGAAUGUUGGGAGUGGAAUCAGAAUUAGAGAUAAAAGAAGAUGAUACGGAAAAGAAGUACUCCUACCAGUUUCCUCUCCGGUGGGAGAGCACCGGCGACCAGUGGUGGUUCGCCUCCCCCAUCGACGUCGCCGCCUCCAACGGCUACCGCGCCGUCGUCCGCGAGCUCCUCCGCCUCGACCCCAACCUCCUCAUCAAGCUCACCUCCCUCCGCCGCACCCGCCGCCUCGAAUCCCUCUGGGACGACGACGCCGUCGCCGGCGCCGGCGACGGCGACGGACCCGCCCAUCGCCGCGCCUCCGUCGCCCGUGGCCUGUUCCUCGAGUGUGAAUUGAAGGGCGUAACAAUGAACGCGCUCGUGCGCGCCGGGUAUGGCGGGUGGCUGCUCUACGCCGCGGCGGCCGCGGGCGACGUGGGCUUCGCCCGCCACCUGCUCGACAAAAUGCCGCUGCUGGUGUUCGGGGAGGGGGAGUACGGGGUGACCGACAUGCUGUGCGCGGCGGCGCGGAGCGGGGAUGCGGAGGUCUUCCGGCUUCUGCUCGACUCCGCUCUGUCGCCGAGGUGCUCGAGCUCCGGCCCCAGAGAACCGGAGCUGGCGAACCGGCCGGAGGAGUUCCGGCGGGAGAUUGCGAACAGGGCGGUGCACGCGGCCGCGAGGGGCGGGAGUGUGGAGAUUUUGAGGGGGCUUCUCGAGAAUUGCGAGGGCGGUGGGGAUGUGUUGGAUUGCAGGGAUGCUCAGGAAUCGACCGCGUUGCAUUCCGCGGCCGCGAGGGGGCGGGUUGAGGUGAGAUUGUGUGCUUCUAUUGCUCCUCGUUCUUGCUAUAACAAUACUUCGAUUCGAAUGUUAAUUGUAGAAUUGUAGGAUAAAGUGUAAAGAUAAUUUAUGCACUAUCCUAGCAUUGGCCUUGAACUUACCCAUAUACUGGGGGGAAAAAAAAAGAGAAAGUGGAAAUGGUAAUUUUGUUAGAUAAAAGCAUAGGUUUCUUUGUGAUGUUUAUGGAUGGAUGCCAAUCUAAGAUAGCGGCGAAGACUAGAGUGCUUAAAUGAAAAGUUCAGGAACUAAAUCACACUACGAGAAUUCCAUACAUUUUCUUCUUUAGUUGUAUCUCGAAGAUUGUAUGGGUUCCUUAGUUGCUCCAUUUCGGAGUAGUUUCGUGCCGAGAAAUAAAAUUAGCAAAUGCAUCAAAUGAAAAGGUGACAAAUCUUUGGCUAAGAAAAGUCUCCAUUAAGAUGUGGAUGGCGGAGUGACGCUGAUGCCCCAAUUGUCUAUAUUGAAUAGAAAAGGGAUUAUGGUAGGGAAUAGAAGGACUAUGGACAUUAAUACUAAUAAUUACGGUUAAGCAUUUUGGGCUGGUGGUUUGAGUUCAACAAGUUAUUAGUGCCAUCGGGUCGGGUCAUUAUAUUUGCUAUCAAAGCCAGUUUGCCAGCUGGCAGUGUGAGGGUGGUCUCACAUUGUUUGGUGAUCUUGGGCUAAGGAAUCGUCUCCGACAAAAAUGUCGGGAUCUAAACUGGUGGUCUCAUAUCAUUUGGUGGUCUUGGGCUUGGGAACUAAACUGGUGGUCUCACAUUGUUUGAUGAUCUUGGGCUUGGGCUAGGGAACGGGAUCUGGCGAGAAUGUUGGGAUCUAGACUAGCUAGGGAAUGGGAUCUAAAAUGACGGUCUCACAUAUGUUUGGUGAUCUUGGGCUAGGGAAUUGGAUCAGAUGAUCUUGGGCUAGGAAAUCGUCUCUGAAGAGAAUGUCGGGAUCUACAUUGGUGGUCUCACAUAGUUUAGUAAUCUUGGGCUAGGGAACUAAACUGCUGGUCUGAGAUCGUUUGAUGAUCUUGGGCUUGGGCUAGGGAACGGGAUCUGACGAGAAUGUUUCACUUAUUUUUUGAAUCAUCACUUCUGAAAUGCCUAUUUAAUCUCCAUGUAAAAAGUCCAUAUGUUACUUAUUUAAUCUCCAUGUAAAAAGUCCAUAUGUUACUUACAUUGCAAUUAUACGUGGAUAUUGUUGUUUUAUUCUAUGCUAAAAUAGUUACGAACGAAAUUGAAACUAUACUAAAAGGUCGAGAAUCCUCAGUGCCUUUUACACAUAAAGAAAAUAACCAUAUUCCAUCGUUAAGCCAUUCAAGUUCAUUUUUGCAGGUUGUGAAGUAUUUACUGGCUUCUUAUGACAUAAUCGACAGGAGAGAUAACCAAGGCAACACUGCAUUGCAUGUUGCAGCAUUUCGCGGGCACUUAGCGGUUGUAGAAGCCUUAAUCUCUUCCUCGGCAUCGUCCUUACCAUCGCUAACCAACAAUGCGGGGUAUACAUUUCUUCAUAUGGCGGUGGAAGGUUUCAGGGCUCCCGGUUUCCGAAGGCUCGACCACCAAAUGGAUCUUAUGAAGGAAUUAAUAUCGGGAAAACUUGUAGAUAUUCAGAACAUUAUCAAUAUUCAAAACAACGAAGGCCGGACCGCCCUUCAUAUGGCUUUAAUUGGUACCGUGCACUCCGAUCUUGUCGAGCUCUUAAUGGCCGCUCAAUCGAUCAAUCUCAACAUUCGGGACGUCGAUGGUAUGACCCCAUUAGAUCUUCUCAGAAAAAACCAGCGAUCUGUAUCGUCUGAGAUUUUGAUUAAGCGAUUAGUUUCUUUUGGGGGGAUCUCGAAUUCAAAGGACUACAUCGCAAAAUCGGCCAUUGCUUCUCAUUUUAAGAUGCAUGGUUUAGGUAAUAGUCCUGGUACUUCUUUUAGAAUCUCGGACGCUGAGAUAUUCUUGUAUGCGGAUAUUGAAGCACCGGAGGACAGUGGGCGAGCUACACCGGAGGACAGUGGGCGGCUUAGCUCGUGCUCGAGCGCGUCGCAGAGCGAAAUUUCACAAUUUAGCCCAAACGGUGAAAAGUACGAGUCCUUGAAGAAGAAGAAAAAUUCCUUCUACAAGGUUCUUUUGAAGUGGCGUCAUCGAAAGGGCAAAAAGUCGGAGAAACUAAAGAAACUUGAAGAAGAAGAGUCGUUGGAUUCGUUCCAGAAAUGGAGUCCAUGUGUCAAAAUCCCGACUCCUCUACGGCAACAGUUCUGUAAGCCGACCUCGCUUCUCAACAACAAACGAACUUACGCUAUUAAUACUUCCAUGCCAAGUCCAGACACAAUGAAGAGAUUCGCCGCCAGUUUGAGCCACGGCGUGAUUCAGCCCACGCCGGAUUUGGCUCGCACUUCUCGCUCACCAUCUAGCUCCUUUUCGAGAUCGCCGAUGUUGUCGCCGCAUUUUGACAAACCGAAAGGUGACUGUUUUGACGACGAAAGAAAUGGUGUUGUAGCCUCUUGCUCGAAUUCGCCGGCAAAAAGUGGUAAGCUGAUGAACAAGUAUUUCUCGUUUGGGGCGCAAGGCUCGAACCGCAAGUUCGAGCGGUCGGUUCUCUCUGCAGCUUGACGCACCAGUUGGAAGAGGUUCUUGAAUCAUGAACUUCACUCGUAGAUGCUCUAACAUGGUCCAUUAUUUCCUUUAACUUGUGCUUUUUGGUAUUUCUAGUAUCAUCAUCAUCAUCAAAGACAUGCUUGUAUUGUAUAUGUGUGGUAUGUUUAGAUGCAAUGAAGCUACAAAUGUUGUAUAUGGUGGCUGAUAAUAAAUUGUAUAUUAUCCUCCCAUGUGCUUGGUGCUAUCUACUUUGCCCGUAUUUCGAUGUCGGAAUAAGUUAUCCAAUGAUAUUAUCACUCGUGCAGUGCGAGGAUUUUAUUUCGUAAUUGUAAUCUAGGAUAAAGAUAGGUGAUUUUGUUGAAUAUACGUAAUAUUCAAGCACUACUGUUUUGGCGCUCUCUGGCAGCUUAAGUUUUUUCAGAGACAAGCGAUUAUUUUAUAUUAUUUUUACAUGGUAUCAUAGCCGUAAUUUGCCGUAUUGCGAAAGACAGGUGAUUUUGUUGAAUAUAUCUAAUAUUCAAACACUAUCGUUCUGACGUUCUCUGAUAACUUAAGUUUUUUAGGGACAACCGAUUGUUUCAUAUUAUUUUUACGUGGUAUCAGAAGCAGAAGUCCCGAGUUCGAAUUCCACCAGCAUGGUUGGGCCACAUGAGUUGGGUCUUAAAAAACAAAACCUGGAUUUUGUGAUUAAUUUUAUUUAAAAGUAAAAGCUCUCAAAAAUUGAGAAUAUGUCAUCAUUGAAAAGCAAAAUAAGAUCCUAAGCCUGGAAAAUAAACGCUUCAUUUUUUGGUGCUUCUGAUUCUGAUAUAAAUUCUUUUAAAAAACUUUAAUUUUUGUAAAUAUAAAUAUAUAUAUUAUUUUUCGACGGCACUAAUCCAAUAGUACUCUAUCAACAAUUUUAUUAUUAUAUACUUUAUAACCGACCAAAUAAUUCCUAAUUUACUUAUCGUUACAUAUUCAUGCAAAUACUUUUGAAUAAUAUUUAAAAUUUUAUCCGAAUCGGAACGAGACAGGUUUAGCCGAUGCUAAACCAAUUUUGUAUUAAUAAUUUUAAUUGAGGUGAGGGGCCUAUUGGACUAGUAGGUAAAGUUGAGGGGUUGUAAAUAUCAAAAUUGAAAGUUGAAGAAAUUUAUAAUAUAAAAUAAAAAUGUUUAGGAACUGAACAGAAAUAUUAUAAUAGUUCAGGGGCUAUCCAUAAUUUUACCCAAAUGAGGCCACGAAUCAAAAAGCUCCCACUUUUUCCCUCCCAUGGCGUGGUCGAUACAGGGGGAGGAGUCGAUCAAACCCUAGCAACAAAUCAAAGGAAAAAAAAAAACAAAAACACAAAUCGAAGGGAGUAGGUAAGGCGAAUCCUUCUCGAUUUUACUAAUUUUAGCAAAUUUGAGCAAAAAAUUGAACAUGUAUGGUAUCAAUUUUCACAUCUCAAAACCCUUCAGAUCUGUUUUUUUUUUUUUUUUUUUUUUUUUUUUUUUUUUUUUUUUUUUUGCAUCAUAUUUCGUGAUUCCUAACCGUAAUCUGUUAAUUAGAAGAGUUAUUGUCAUGGAAAUUUAGUUUCUUUUGCAAAUAAAUUUUUUUUUAUCUGAUUUUGAACUGAUAUAUGCAUGUAUCGAUUGGGGAGAGUAGUGAUGUAUUUGAAUGCAGUGAUUAGUUAAAAUAAAAGGGGGAAAGUGCUUCUUUUUGCAGCAAUUUUCUCUUUUACAUAAAAUUACUUUGAUCUAGUUUGAAGUGAUACAAUAAUUAGUGAUGUAUUACGCAAAAAGGGCUUCUUUUUGAAGUUUUACAGUGUUCGGCAUAUUGUGUGUGAGCAAAAAGGGCUUCUUUUUUUUUUCAUUUUUCAUUUUUUUUGGAUGAAUUCAAUUUAAAUGAAGGCUCAUAUCCCUAAUUGAACUCGAAUAAUUUCGAAAGCAUUUGGGCCGGAGUGUUUGGCAUUUAUAUUUGUAUUUAAGAUCUAUCCAAAGCAUUUGGAAAUUGAAUUGAAAAUUAAUUCUGCUAAUCUUUUUCUAGAAAAUGCCACAAUUUACAAACAAAUUAGAGCUAAUUUUAGUUUUUUAAACUGUUAAUAUUACAGACGCCUUAUGCUGGUUGUGAUGUUAAAAUCAUUUAUUGGAGUACGCUGCGCGCUAGUCUUUUCUUCUAGUUCUUUGUUCUGUAAGGGGGUAUUCGGUUCCUUAGAAAAGUGUGAAAAACUAUUUUUCGGGAAAAAUGUUUUCCAUGGAAAACACCUUUUUCACAGUUCACACUACUUUUCCAUGAAAUCUGGAAAAAAACUUUUUCAGAAAAACUACUUUUCAAAGGAACCAAAUGGACGAAAAAUACUUUUUCAGCCGGAAAACUAUUUUCUGGGAAACCUAACACCCCACCCCGUGAUGGCUUGUUUCAACUUUUUAGGCCCUAAGCUUUUAAUUGCAAUGCAUAUCUCUGGUAGUCGAGGAAGAGGACUGUAAUUUCAUUCGCUUAUUUGAGUUUUCUUCUUCUUUAAUUGCUGCACUUUUUGAUAUAGAUGUGCAGGUUUGAAGGUUUUCCUAUUCAUUACUCAGAAAUUCCCAGGAAAUUUUCUGUCCUAUUUCCUGACAAUGGCAAACUUAGAUUGCCUGAUUAUAUCUUAGUCUUGAUGCUUUCAACAACUAAUCUGGAUACAAAAUUGUUAUUUUGGCGCACUAUGUAAACGAAGAACAAAUAAUACACAAAUAUUAAUACUUUGUUUUCUGGGUGUGUUGUUAGGAUUAUACACAAUGAUGGCUGCUGUUUCACCAUCGCAAAUAUUUUUGCGAUACUUACUUCCGCAUGCAUUCAUUUGUUCGCACAAGCAAAUUACACGCACCAUGUAUGUCUAUUAUUUUUUCAAUCCUUGUGAUUAACUUUCCAUCAAAUUUUCAUAAACACUAAUAAGAAGAGUAUCCGAGGAGAGUGAACAGUAACUUUUAAUAGGUUAUUGUAAGCAACUUUUCACUAUGAACUUGAUCUCGUUGUAGGAAUUUCAGAGCACGAGGGACUCAAAGGCAUCUAAAAUCAUUUCAUCAGUCCUUCAGGAGAUCAUAUAUGGCUGUACAAAUGGAAAAUGGGCAACACUCUAGUUCACGCGGUUCUCUUAUAGUCUUUGAAGGAUUAGACCGAAGUGGGAAAACAUCGCAAUGUGGUAAGCUGCUCUCGUACUUGAAAGGCGAAGGUUUAUCAGUUGAAGCUUGGCGAUUCCCGGACAGAAGCACUGGCGUCGGGCAAAUGAUUUCUUCUUAUCUUGCAAAUCAGUCGAACUUAGACGAUAGAGCAAUCCAUUUGCUUUUUAGUGCAAAUCGAUGGGAGAAAAGGUUCUGUUCUUUCCUUAGUAAACUGUUUGUAUUCGUUGAAAGCAUAUUGGCAAAAACUAUUUGACUAAUUCCCCAUUUACAGAGCUCUGAUGGAAAACAAGCUACAGAGUGGAAUCACACUCAUUGUUGACCGUUAUUCUUAUUCUGGUGUCGCUUUUUCGGCUGCUAAGGGACUUGAUAUCGAGUGGUGUAAGGUGAGUUACAUCAGUACCCAGAUGAUUUUUUGAUUAAAGAAGGCUGCUUAUCUGUUUAUAUAUAUAUAUAUAUGUAACAUAACAUGAAUUAUGCCAUUUCCUGCAGGCGCCGGAAGCUGGUUUAAUAGCUCCAGAUCUUGUGAUAUAUCUAGACGUACUGCCAGAGGUAGACAACUGAAAUUCUAUUUAUUGAUAAUCUUUUCAAUAUCCUAGAGUAUGAUCGAUCACUGGGCUGUCCCUGUGCUUCUGAAUCGAACUGUUUGUUACUUUGCCACAAGGUUAGAGCCACAUUCAGUUAAUUUUGCUGUAGAAUGUCCUUUUUAGCCUUAUUUCAAUUGAACUGUAAUUGCUAAAUCAUCAUCAUUAUAUGGGCAUAGGGGUAUAAUGAUCAUUUUAUUAGAAAAUUAAGAUUUACCUUUUACGAUCAAGUAGUUGUAAUAUAUAAAAAAAGUUUGUGGACUAUAGUAUUUAAGGACAAAGAACUGGAACCAACUUCCAAUAUCAUGAUCAUACGAGGAUUGCUCGGAUAACAUCUUAUUGUUGUAGAUGAUAUAUGUGUGUUCUUAUGGACUGAAGCUAAUUAAAAAAGAUGAAUCUAUGAUCAUUUUAGACUGGUUGAAACUUGCAACCAGAGUGAAUUAUCGUGUAUAAGUAAUUUGAAUGGCUUAUUUCUUUGCCGCAGAUCCUUGCAAUACCAAACUUUUGGCUCUUUUAUUUUUUGGUAUAAUAAAUUUUCAAUGAAUUUGUGCUAUUUUAGAAAGCAGCUGAAAGGGGAGGUUACGGCACUGAGCGGUACGAGCAACUUGAGUUCCAAAAAAGGGUUGCAGAGCACUACAAAACACUCCAUGAUGAUUCUUGGGAGGUAAUUUUCAGCCUCAAGAAUAUACUAACUCAGAAGCCCUUUACGUUCUUCAGUUCAAGGAUUUAAGUGCCCAUUGGCACGGGCUGUAUCCAUCAUACCAAUAAGAUAUCGGCACGAUAUAGCCUCAGUGCCGAUGGCACUGGUUAAAACCCUCUAUUCUUUAAAUUAGUAAAUAAUUUUCUCAAUACAAUUCAAAAGAUUUGAUAAAAAUGCAUAAUAAACGGUUAGAAUAUUUUGCUGCUAAAGAAAAUAAAUAUUUCAUGCUAUUAUGUAUCGGCAUACAUGAAUUUUUGGUGACCGACACACAUCGGCACGGCCUGACACGCACUGUGCCGGAAAGUUUCUAGCACGAUCCCUUGCCACGGCACUUAAAUCCUUACUUCAGUUGUUUCCUUAAUUCAUUCUGAUGUUUGGGAACUAGCUUCAACUAACAUAUUGGUGUUCAUGCAUUUCAUUUCGACAAUUGUUUUGAGUUUAUAUUGUAUGCUUGCACGAAGGAUGAACUGAACCAUUUGUCCCCAGCCUUUUUUAUACGAUAGGGUCCCCGACCUUUGCAUUUUCUUGUGAUCCUGCCCCUUCGUACUGUUGAAAAUGUAUUAUUCGAGUAAGUUUCCGCUAUCGGUUAUAUGAUGAUGUAUUUUUGUUAAGGACUCGGAGAUUGUUCUGAAGAUGCCUUGAUUCAAUACUUUUUAUACUAUGUAAUUAAGAUAAAAAUAAGAUUUUCUUUUAUUGUUUGAACUAGCACGACCCAAGUUCGUCGACUUCUCUAUAGGCCUGAGGGACCUUUUCUUUUUACGGAUUUAUUUGAAUUUUAUUAUUAUCUUCGAAAUAUGAGGCAUAUUAAUCUCCCCUUUUUUAUAAAUCUACAUGUAAUUUUCUCUUUCUUCUCCUUUUAGAACUCUGUCCUCUUUGCAUCUUCAUUUUUCUUACAUCGGAACCCCCAAAUUACGCGGUUGAUGUAAAUUUUUUUCUCCGAUUCUGCGCUUCAUUUCAGGUCAUUGACGGCUGCCUCUCGAUGGAAGCUGUGCAGCAACAGCUGAGAGAGCUCGCGACUAAUUGUGUAAAGACGUGCCAACGAGGAAAGCCUCUUGUCAGCCUCUGGUCGACCAAAUAGAUUCGACUUCCGAGUUCAAACAACGAAGCUGGAUUUAGUUUCGAUCGUUAAGCUCGAAUCAUAAAGCUUACUGAGCUCAACUCGGCCUUAAUCUUAUUCUAUAAGGCGGAUCGGAAUCGGCAAUGUUUCUACUUACUCUGCUCAACUCAGCCUUAAUCUUAUUCAAUUUGGUUGAAAUGGAAGAAUUGUGUUUUUCUGAGUGUUUUUUGAGACAGUAGAUUAAUUUUUUUGGGGCAUUGGUUAGUGGAUUGUGAAAGUGUUUAGUGGAAACUAAGAUGUUCUUUAAAACUUGAAAUUAAUGGAGAGUAUUUAUUUAUUGUUGUUUAAUCAGAGUAUCAAAACUCAGUUGUUUUCUUUUUAGUGUUUACUCUAGACUUUGUAUAAUUUUGAUUUCUUUAAAGCCUAUACAAAAAUUGGAGCUUCAAGCACCAUUAAUGGUAAAUUACACCAUGGAUGCAUAAAAUCUAACAUUUGUUUCAUUCGCAAAUAAUGAGAUAGGGAUCAAUUGAUUUGGUCGCUCCACUAUCUGAACAUGAUUCUGUUGUCACAUCAUAUGAAGUGAAUAAUGUGGUGUGGCAUCUGAAUUAGUAGUCAUAUUUUUUUUCACGAUAUGACCAGACAACUGAAUCAUCAGCUACGAAGUCAUCCAUUAUCGAAGUAUUUACGCAAUUAAAACAAAAAUUAAAGUUUAGUACAUUAAUCGAAACGCAUUUUUAAGUAUCAAAGGGUGUUGCUUGCUCCUUAAUCAUUUACUUCUCCAAGACAUUCUUUUAUCAUCUUGAAGUAAAGUGGUUAUUUCUUACCCAUUAAUUCAUCUCCAAUUAUUGGUAAUGGGACCCAAAAUAAUUAGUAUGAAAAAUUAAAAGAAAAACAUUAUUUAUAUUUAUUAUAUUAAUAUAGAUACAUAUUGUAUUGGUUAAUAUGGGAGCAAAAGGAAAAGGAAUUCAUUCACAUGCAAAAAAAAACCCUAGAUCCCAUGCUAUUUUGUAGGUGGCUCCCACGUGCACACGUGUAAGCAACUAUUUUGAUAUGUACCUUAUAUAUUCACUACAAUACAAAAACAAACAACAUGUGACUAGGGUUUUAUUAGUAGGAUACAAAAAGUUGCAUGCUGUAAAAUUGUACUAUAUCUACAAUUGAAAAAUAGGUGAAAAUGUUUAAGAACUAACCUUUUGAUUCUAUUAUUUACAUUUUUUAAUAUUUUGAUUUGAAGACGCAAUUUUUAAAUUUAUUUGAUUUAAAUCAUUCGGUGGCUCUUCUACCUAUAUGCUAAUUAAACAUACAAAAAUAAAUAAUGUAUUCAAAUUUUGAGAUUAAAGAAUAAUUAACUGACUCAAAUCAAAUAAAUUGUUAGAGAUAUAUUAUACUCAGUAUGAGCAAUAAGUAUUUUCAUUCCCACUAUAACUAAAUUUGGCGUGUCUUGUGGUAGUGUUGGUGCGAUCCUUCGAUUUAAGACAACUACAAUUGAGAAGGGGGAUAUAAUUAUAAAUAUGGUUGAAAACAACGACAGUUAUAAAUUGGAGCUUCGAUAGAAGAGAUGAAUGGAAAGGAAAGUUCACAUUUUAGGUGCAGAAUUCCUCUCCAACUUUUUGCUUUUUCAACUACAUGCGAUUUAGGUGCAGGUCGAUAUUUAGUAGUUGACUUGCAAGUUUCAACUAUAGCUGCGACAAAUCAGAACAAAUUUUUUCAAUUACUUAUAGUUGCAUCUACAUUGCAGUUUUAGACGUAGCGAACCAGCCAGAUCCUAACAUGCACCACAUUAAAAAUGACUUGGAGAUCAAAUUCUUUUUGUUCCUUCCAUUCACUAAAGAUAUAAUUAGAAAAAUUUUCACUACAAAGGUUGUCUAAUUGGGCUCAACUUACUUUUGAUUCAUGUACAUUUCCGAUUCGAAUUCGAUCCAUAUCAAAAGCGCCGUAUUGGCUUCCAAAUAAAUAUUUUUCGUAGGGCUCCAGACCGAGAUCUAGAUCUGAAUACGAAUCCAAUAAGCUAAAGAAUCCAAUUUGUGGGUCCAAAUUAAAGUGGAAUUUUGACUAGAUUUAGAUUGGAUUAUUGGAAGGUUAGAAGGGACCAUUUACAUACCCUAAUCACAUGAGUGGUCCAUUGAAUCUCCUUCUCCUACAAUGUAAUUCCAAUUAAGUACUACACAAUUAUUUAGGACCACUACAAAAGUGUUACUUUUUGUAGUUUUUAAAGCAUGCCAUGAAAAGCUCCAAACAGAAAGAAAAGACAAUUUUAAAUUCUAUCCAAUUUUAAGAUACCUCUUGAAAAGAAAAAAAAGCUAUAUCGGAGUAUUUUUUUUUUUUAAAGUAAAUAUAUUGCCUUUAAUUUACACUUUAAUUAUUUCCGUUGAUAAUGAAAAUUCACAAAAAAAGUCCACUAAAUCUUAAUUUGUGCUAUCUUAAAAGGUAUUGUUUGAAUAAUAUUUUAAGAUUUUUUAAAACUAAUUUAUAAAUGAUAAAAUAAAAAGGGGGUUAGCUAAUAAUAAUAUGAGAUAAACGCGAAUUUUUUACAUAUUUUUUCACAGCUGGAUUUUAGAUAUGAAUAUCGACAUAUUUAGAGAGAUCCUACAUGUGCAACUGUAGUAAAGUGUAAAUCUUACGCUCUAAUCAUUUAAAAACUAAUAUUUACUCACUAUCUUAUCAAUAAUUUUUUUUUGUAAUACUAAAAGACUAAAAAAUAUUUUUAAACUCUUAUAGAAUAUACAUGUAGUAUUUUUUUUAUAUAUUUAAGAGAGUUUUUUUAUUUUUUUUAAAUGGUUUUCCUUGGAUGUGACAUCUCACCAAAAAAAAGAGAAUUAAAAAACAAAAACAUGCACAGCUGGAUUAUGUAGAUGAUGUUGUUUCCUUCUCUGUAGCUAAUCCCUUACCAAGAACAUCAAGAACAUGAAGUUCUUUGCUAGCCUUUUGGGGAGCAAAUUUUCUUGGCCUAUUUAAUUGUGGGUCAGCAAUUUAUAGACUUAUCACUCCAUUAUCUGUUGAGGCUGUAGGAGAUAGGCCUAACCUUAAUUUAUUAUUAUAUUUUCAUGAUUAAAAGGAUAACAUAUUGCUCACUUAUAAAAUUUUAUAAUUUUGUGAAGUUACUGACGCAGUAAUAUAUUCUGGGAGACCGGCAGAGUGAUUCUAAUAAUACCAACCACUUGAUUAUCAGCUUUUUUGUCAUUAGAUGUAACCUUUUGACCAUUUCUGCCUCUUGAAUCAUACUAAUCCAUAACCACCACUAAAUUCGUGUGGCCGGCUAUCAUUCUAAUUCUACAAUUCCUUUUAGAGAUGUCAACGAGUCGGAUUCGGGACAAAUUUUUAAAAACCCGAACCCGAACCCAACUCUAAACCCGAGACCCGAAUCCGAACCCGAACCCGACGGAUUUUAAAAAUUCAUAUCCAAACCCGAACCCGACCAAAAAUCCGAAACCCGAAUCCGAACCCAAACCCGAAUCCGAAAAUUUGAACCCGAAACAGUUAUUUCUUUUUUCAAUAUUUCAAAAUAUAUUAUAUUAAAUCUAAAUUUUUAAAAUAUAAAUUCAAAUAUAACACCAAAUAUAUAUAUAUAUUAUAUAUAAAUAAAUUCAGGUUCGAGUCGGGUUCGGGUUUGGGUCGGGUACAAUCAAAAUCCAUAUCUGAAUCCAUAUUCGUCGGGUUUCUAUUUUUUAUAUCCAUAUCCGAAUCCAUAUUCAUAUCCAUCGAAUAUAUCCGUUUCAUUCGGGCUCAGGUUCAGAUAAAAUUUCGGGUAUCCAUACGUAUUGACAUUCAUAAUCCCUUUAUCCUAAACCUAAAAACAAACAAACACAAAUGACUUGCAGACUUGGUGCUAUUAGAAGUAUUUCAGCACAGUUGUGUAUUUUGGCUCUUUGGGUUGUGAAUCUUGUGAUAACUAUCACCUCACAAUUUAGAAAAAUACUACUUGUCUACUUGUACACUCUAGAAGGGAGUUGGUGAUUUACAUAUCUCUUCAUCCAAGGGUUCAUGAGAUAUUUAAUGUUAAAGAAUUAAAAAAUUCGGUUUCUCGAAUGUUGAAUUAUGUGUUCUGAAUAAUAUUUAAUAUGAAUCGUCGAUUUGAAAGCUUUAUCAGUGAAAAUGACUUGUAGUAAGAAAGCGAUCGUGCUUAUAAGAGUAUAAUAACUGAACUCAUAUGUAUAUAAAGGAAUUAUUAUAAAUAUUUGUCAUUGCACUAAAUAUUUAUUUACAUUUAUUUGAUGAUAUAUAAAGAAAUUAUUGUAAAUUCUAUAUGGUGUUCUAAGGAGUGAGGAAAAUAAAAAUAUUUUAUUUGCAUUUUGCUUUCAAACACUACCAUCCAUAAAUUAUAAGUAUAGAAUAAAUUGAUUAUUAUUCUGUGGAACAUUUACUCUUAUAGUGAGCCAUACUUUUAACAUAACUAUUUUUAUUAUGACUAAAAUACAGAAAAAUUUUUAUAAACAUAUGCUUUUUUUUAUCUUUUCGCUCUCAUUUUUAAAAAUCUAUAUUUUGCCCUCUUAAAAUUUCAAAAAUAUUUUUAGGAGGACACGACGUUAACGAAGAGGGCAAAAUAACCAAAUCGCCCUUAUUUCUUCUAUUAAAAAAAUAAAAUUUUAAUAUAUUUCUAUUAUUUUGAAGGGCAUUUUCGGUAUAAAUCAUAAAAAAUUGACAUAAUAGAGAUGGAACCCUGACGGGGGGAGCUAAAUGUAACAACUUGAUAUGUUGAGGGGUAAAAUGUAAAUUUUUAAAUAUUAGAAAGAGAAAGUAAAAAAAUAAAUAUUUAUAAGGAGAUUUUUCACUACAACAGAAUUAUGUUAUAGGAACACAAGUUUGGGACACUUUUGUGUAAGUGCCCCUUUUAUGUCAAAACAUUUAAAAAAAUCUACUAAGGGCUAAGGCCUAAAUAUAAAGCUCAAUCCAACCAAAAAUAAAAGGUUAUUCUACUCAACCCACCCCACCCAGUCCAUUCAGCCCGAUUACAAACAAAAAGUAAAAAAAAAAAAAAAAAAUCAAUUACCGUCUCUCCUUCUCCGCUCACUAAAUCCACUGAAACCCUAGACGAAGAGCUCUUCGCUCUCCUCCUCCUCUGUCACCACAGCCAACGAGAUAGAGUUCCGGCAGUUGCUAAAUGCUUACAUAAGUAUUGAUAAAUUAGUAGCACUCUUUUUAAAUUAUACCGACACUCUUAAACUGUCAAUAUAUACUUAGCAACCCCACAUAUAGCAACAUUUUUUAAAAAUGUUGGUAAUUUAGCCAGCAAAAUUGAUAUUUAAAAAUGUCGCUAUAUAUUAUUUUUGUUGUAAUAUUCUUUCAUUUAGCCUUUUAUUAUUGAUAAAAAGAUAUAUAUUAAAUUCAGUAAUUAAAUAUAUCUAAAUUUGAUCACAAACAAUAAUUUUUUUAUUUUUUUUAUUCUAAAAGUAAAAAAAUUAUUUUUUUAACAAUUUGAUCCCUCAUCAUAACUCUAGCACAUGGUGAAACAUGUGAAUCCCACUAAUAACAUAAAACCCAUGUGAUUACUCUGACAUUUUUCUCAUGCAUUAUGUAUUGCUUGCAUUAUAUUAGAGCAGCAUAUAUGGAUUGAGUACACUGGUUACAGCACAAGGACAAGAGAAAUUAUAGCAUAUAUAUAUACACACUAGAAAAGUAUUAUUUGAAUAAAAUUAUUAAAAUAAUCAGAUAUUUUCUAAUUUAUUUUUUAUAAAUAUUUUUGUAUCUAAAUUUAUAGAACCUGACAUAGUGAUGAUAUAUUUCUAGGAGCAGGACUGUUGUGCUCCCGUGCUCCUGAGCCGUUUUCGAUGAUAAAAUUUUCGAAUCGAUGAUCGGUUCCGUUAGACUUGAUCUAGCGUAUUUGAAGAUUUUAGAAAAUAAUAUUUACGACUUUUUGAUAUCAUUUACCUAACAAUCAAAAGGAUUCAAAAUCAAUAAUUUUUAACGGCUGAAAAUAAAAAUUCUAUAAAAAGUUGUAAUAUAGCACUAAAAUUUUCGAUCAGAAAUAUUGAGCUUGUUGUAAAUAGUAUAAAGAAUUUUGUAGCAAAAUUUCAUCUGAUUUGAAUACUUCUAUACCGUUAAACUUGAAAACGGCAGAUAUCAAUCAUUAAAAAUUAUUGAUUUUGAAACUUUUCGAUCACUAGAUAAAUGAUAUCAAAAAAUCGCAAAAAUUAUUUUUUAGAAACUUCAAAUACGCUAGAUCAAAUCUAACGGAGCCGAUCGUCGAUUCGAAAAUUCCAUCAUCGAAAAUGGCUCAGGAGCACGGACGCCUUCGUACUCCUGAGAGCACAGCAGUUCCUGCUCAUAUUUCUAGUGUGAUUUAUCUGACAUUUAUUUUUAAUUUUUAUUUAAUUUAUAUAAUUUUGAGUUAGCAUUUCCAUGUCAAAAUUGUAUACAAGGGUGUGUGUGGUUACUCCUUAAAAUGGCCGAAAAAAAUUUUUAAGCCUGAAAAACUUUUUUUGGUUGUUUGGAUUAUGGUAAAAUGAUUUUCCUCGAAAACUUUUUUUACAUACUUGGAUGAAAACAGAGUUUUUCGGUUUCCGCCAUUUUUACGCGAAAAACGAAAACUCUUUACAAAAAACGCGGCUCAUCGAAGCGGGAAAAAACACGGUCCACGAGAAAAGCUUGUUCUCGUGGACCGCGUGAGAGGACCCACCAUGACCUCUCUUUCUAUAUAUAUACUAGUGAAUUACCCGCGCGAUGCUGCGGAUAUAAAAUUAUUUUUAUAAUAAAUUAUAUAUUUUUUAAUAUUUUUAUAUAGUUUUAUAAGUCUAACUAUUAAUUAAAAAAAUUAUAUAAAAAUAAUUAUGUGCAAAGUAAAUUUAUACAAUAAUUUAUUUUAUAAAAUUUAUAUGAAAAGAAUUUGAGAUAAAUCUAUCAAAAUAAUUUAAGAAAACCAAUAAAUAAAAAAUUGUAAACAAAAAUUUUUAAUAAAAAAUUAUCAUAUACACAUAGCUAUUUUCUAAAAUUUAGUCCUUGAAAUUAAAUGUUUACAUAUUUUUUAUACAGCGAUAUUUUUAUGAAUUAAAUUGUAUUAUUAGAUUAGAUUUUAUUACGCGAUUAUUACGCUAUUAUUAGAAUUUAGAGAUUAAAAUUUUAAAUUUGAAAAAGUUAAAAUUUGGAAUAAUAUAUAAUUUAAACAUAUAAAAUAUUAAAUUUUAAAAUUUAACUUUAAAAUUUAAACAUAUCAAAUUUAAAUUUUAUUAUAUAUAUAGAAGGAGAGAGAAAAGGAGGGGGGACACGUGUACUCUAAGGUCCCCAAACCCGCCUCCCCCCCCCCCCCCCCCCCCGCCUCCCCCCCCCCCCCCCCCCCCCCCCCCCCCACCCCCCCCCCCCCCCCCCACCACCCCCCCCCCCCCCCCCCCCCCCCCCCCCCCCCCCACCCCCCCCCCCCCCCUCGCCCGCCCCACCCCCCCCCCCCCCCCCCCCCCCCCCCCCCCCCCUCUUAAUGUAGUAAAUAAAAUAGAUAUAUAUAUAUAUAUAUAUAUACGUAUAAUUAUAUAAUAUAUUAUAUUAUAUAAUAGAAUAAGCUGAGAUAUAUUAUAUAGUAAAACUUUUUUUGACUAUCAAAUUCAACAGCCUUGGAUGAAAGUUGUAAAUUAGAUGUAAUUAUCAGCAUUAGAGUUAAGUGAUCCCCCUAUAUUGAGUGUCCUCACAGAAGUUAUAGUAUUAAUCCAAUGGUUUAGAAAAUGAUGAAAAGAGUUGAUCACCAAGGCUAAAAACUGCUAGAACAAUGGCAUUAUUCUACUAAUAGUUUAAUAAUAAUAAUUUAUAUUCAUUACAUAUUAUGUAUAUAUAUUUACAUAUUUUAUUAAUAAAGUAUAAACUUAUAAUAAUUAUUAUGUAGUAUGAUAAUUUUUUAUAUUAAUAAUAUAUAUAUAAUUAUGACAAAAUACAUACCAAUUUUUUCUAAUUUUAUUUUUCUUUUCUUUUCUUCACCAAAACUGCACGAAAAAGUUGUUUUUUUUUUAUAAACCAAAGCUAAAGAGCGUAAUAAUUUAUUUUCUCAGAAAAUUUUUUUUACAUCGAAAACUACUUUCACACGUUUUAUACGUGAAUCCAAACACCCCUUUAAGCACAAAAAAAAAAAAAAAAAAAAAAAAAAAAUGACCAUCUAACACAAGAACUUAUAUUAGGUUAUAAGUUUAUUUUUGAUUCUUCUACAUUUUUACUCUAUUUAUUAUUGGGGAUAAUUGCCUAUAUACCCCUCAUACGUUUGAAAAUAUUCGAUUUACCUCUACUUUUUUGUUCUUUCUAAAAUACCCCUCAUAUGUUCUACCGUUAUUACAAAAUACCCCCGCAGUUAUCUCUUGUUAAGUUAACUUAAGUUAAACGUGAGCUAAAUAACUAUCACAGUUAAAAAAAAUUAAAAUGUCAAUUUUGCACUUAACUUAAGGGCAAAUAAAAAAUAUUGGUGACGGUAGAGGGGUAUAUUAAAAAGGACCAAAAGUCAAAAUACUUUUUGUGCCCUUAACUUUAAGGGCAAAUAAGAAAGUCGGUAAUGGUGGAAGGGUAUAUUUGAAAGGACAAAAUAGAAAUUUUAUAGAGAUAACAGAGUUUAUUAAAAGAUUUUAACUCUAGAGAUAUAUUAGAAAUAGGUUGGAACGUAGAAAGGAUAUUUUCAAUUUUAGCCUUCUAAGAAGGAUAAAUCGAAAAGUCUGGAACUUUUUAUGGGUAUAUAAACAAUCACCCCUUAUUAUUGUUGGAAAGGUGAAUCCAUAUAUAACUUUAACCAGGGAUGUCAAUGGGUACGGAUACCCGAGAUUUUAUCCGAACCAAAACCCGAAUGAAAAGGAGAUAUCCGAUGGAUAUAGAUAUGGAUUCGGAUAUGGAUAUAAAAAAUAGAAACCCGACGGAUAUGGAUUUGGAUAUGGAUAUAAAAAAUAAAAACCUGACGGAUAUGGAUUCGGAUAUGGAUUUUGAUUAUACCCUACCCGAAUCCGAAUUUAUUUUGUAUUAUAUAUAAUAUAUAUAUAAAAUUUGAUGUUAUAUUUGAAUUUAUAUUUUAAAAAUUUAGAUUUAAUAUAAUAUAUUUUGAAAUAUUGAAAAAAGAAAUAACUGUUUCGGGUUCAAAUUUUCGGGUUCGGGUUCGGGUUCGGGUUCGAGUUUCGGAUUUUUGGUCGGGUUCAGGUUUGGUUAUGGAUUUUUAAAAUCCGUCGGGUUCGGGUUCUGGUUCAGGUCUUGAGUUUGGAGUCGGGUUCGGGUUCGGAUUUUUAAAAAUCCGCCCUGAAUCCGACCCGUUGACAUCUCUAUCUUUAACAAUAGAAAGGUGAUAGUAUGUACUCCUCUUAAUUAGUAGCUAUAAAUGUUUGGGCACACCCAUAAUAAUAUUUUGCCCAUUCUUAAAUAUCUCCUUCAAUCUUUCAUUUUUUUAAUUAAUAUAUCCUUAACUUUUGAUUUAAAUUUGAUUUUAAUGAAUAUAACCAAUGUUUUAUCGAAUGUACAAAAAAUUUCAGAUACCCACCUAUAUUUUAUCGAAUGUACACUUUAGUAUUCCGUUAUUUACAGAAUUUUCACUUUAGUAUCCAGUAAUUUUAAUUUUGUUAUUGAUUUAACCAGGAAAUAACAGGAAGAGAAAUAUGAAACUUCGGAAUACUUAAGUGAUACAUUUUUAAAUCAUAGGAUACUAAAAUGAGAAAGCGCGAAACUACAAUAGUGGUAUUUGAAGUUUUUCAAAAUUUAUAUAAUUCUAUAAAUAAAACUAUUUAUAAUUUUUUUAUUAAGGAUAAAAUAUAUAAAAUAAUCUCCUGAUCAUCCACGGUAAUGUAAUAUUUCCACUAAUCAAAAUUUUAUGAUAAUUUCACGAUUUCUAAAUAAUUUAAAUAAUUUAAAUAAAAAUAUAUAAAAUGAGGUUUUUUUUGCAUUUGGCCCCCUCAAAAUAGUUUUUUUCACAAAUAGUUCCAUCAAAUUUAUAAUUACAAUUUUGGCCCUAUCCCCGCCACACAUGUGCCACAUCAGCGCCACACAAGCUGGGUGGGGAGGGGCAUUAAAUUGAACACGAUGAAUCAUUCAUCAUAUUCAAAAUUUUAAACACGGUAAAUGAUUCACCAUGUUCCAUACUUAUACUUUUUUGUUUAAAACUUAUAUUUUUUCACAAUACAUAUAUUUCUUCCUAAGAUGCGGUAAAUGAAUUACCGUAUUCAACUUAUUCUAGCACCCCAACCCUUGCUCGCGUGGGGUCUAUGUGGCACCUGCGUGACAAGAAUUGGACCAAAAUUAUAAUUAUAAAUUUAAUAAAAUUAUUUAUUAAAAUAAUUUUUUUGAGGGAAAAAAUAUAAAAAAAAAAGGUCCUAUAAAAAGUUUUCAAAAUUUUUAUAUAUUGUCAAACUUUUAAACGAAUCAUCAUCAUGAGGAGCGGGAAAAGCAACUCACUUUCGAGGGCUUUACUUUUUGGAAAAGAUAGGAGUGACUGAUGCGAGGGAUUUGCUGACGGCAUUUUGGUAUCUCACGAAGUGGCAGUGCGGACAGUGCAGUCGCGCAGACUUCCGUCCCUCCCCACGUGACGCGCUGAGACUGCUGUCUGCCUCAGCCUUUUGCCCCUCAAAAACGGUUGGUUUACUUUCUGCCGGCCCAACACGGAGGGAAAUAUUGCCUGCACCCGGUGUAUCCGUACAUAUCCGUACAUAUCAUGAACCAUGCUUUAGAUAUUAUAUAACUGCUUGGUUGUUGUUUUGUUUUGUUUUUUUUUUUUACCCCAAGUGAAGUUCAGACGAAAGUAGACUUUUGAGUAAAUCAGAGUCCUGGAAAAAAUUAGUCCUCUUUCGCUGCUUGUUUUUGUGAAUCAUAAGCACUAACCGAUUAUUAUAAAAGUACGUGCUGAUAGAAAGAGCAUAUUCAUCACACUUAAGGGUUCAACCACAGCACUCAUGGGUUUUGAACUGACUCAACUUACCUAAACAUUAGAUUUAUUGUUGGGCCUCUGACCGUUAGGUCUCUUGUGGACCGCGGUUUACUCAAUUUAUUAGGCUCAGCCAAUUCAACUUAUUAGUCUCUCGAGUCUAUUAUUACGCACAUAAAGUUUGAUCUAUUUGAACCCAAUAAUAAAUAUCUAAUAGUUUUUAUAGCUUUAGCACUGAAGUUAUUCAGUUUUGCUAUUUUUUGGAUGGAAAGUGAAGGACAUAAAAAUUAAAGUUUCCCGACGUUAGUAUUUUAUUAUUUUUUAUCACUUUUUUGUUAAGUUAUGAUAAAUCAAAUAAUAACUGUGAAUAUUUAUGAUCGUAAACUACUUCAUAUUUCGUGAAAUGAGCAUAUUAAUGUUUUAAAAUUAAAAUUCAAUUCAACAGAUGCUAGAGAAGAGCUAUAACUCUGAUAUAGGAGAGGCACAAUGUAUAGUUACAAAAUAUAUAUAUUUUAGGAACUUUUCUUAAUUAGUUGUUAUCUUUCAAAUUUAUAGAUUAUAUCAAGUUCCUAUUCUAAGUUUGUGACGGUUCUAUAAAAUAAAUAAUGAGAAAUGAUUCGGUACUUUUUUUAAAAAAAAAUAAAAAAGAUCUUAACCGUUGAUUAAUAGAGGGUAAAAAUGUAACUUUAAUACUUAGCAGGUAAAAGGAUUAUUUUAUUCAAGGUUAGUUUGGUAAUUAAAUAAUACAAUAUUUAAAGAAACUUUUAAUUGAGGUCCUAAAUUUAUGCAUUAAUUAGUACUAAUUUAGGAAAUUAAUUGAUUAACCAAAUUUAUGAAAUUAUUAGGCAUUAAUUUAGGAACCUACUUUAAAUAUUUUAGUGUUUCUCAAAUUAUGCAUAAAUUUAAAUUAUAGAAAUUUUAGAAAUAGUUUUAUUUCUAAAUACGAUGAAUUUAAAUUUUAAAAAUUAAAUACUUAAAAUUUAAAAGUGAAAUUUAAAUUAGAGGAAUUUCAUAUUACUAUUUAAAAACUAAAUUUCUACCAAGAUUUAAAAUACAGUUUAUUCGCACCAGUUUAAAACGUAAUGCAUAAAAAACUUAGAGAGUAAGAUUUCUACAACUAGAUUUCUCUAGAGGAAUUUCAUAUUACUAUUUAAAUUUUAAAUUCAAUGAUUUAAAAACUAGAUUGAACCGAUUGAUUUGACUGAUCAGACUUUGACCUAUUCUAUCAAGAAUCUGAUUUUAACCUAUUGAACCGAAUAACAUUAAGAACAAUUUGGAACCGGUAAAGAUAAUAAAUAUUUUAAACAGAAUAAUAAUUUAACUGUUAGAGCUAAUAAAUAUUUUAAAUAUAAUUUUAAACAUAUAAAUUAAAAAGAUUAGAAUUAUUGGUGAGAAAAAAAAUAGUUAGGAAUUUGAAUUCGAAUCUGACUAACAAUCACAAAACUUAUUUCCGAACUCGACGGAUUUCAAAAAUCCAUAUCCAAAUUCAAAACUGACCAAUUUUUCGAAACCCAAAACCAAACCUAAACCAGAAGACUAGAAUUCAAACAAUUAUUUCUGUUUACCAUAUUUCAAAGUAUUUAUAUGAAACUUAAAUUUUUAAAAUAUAAAUUUGAAUAUAAUAUUAAAUUUUAAAUUUAAAAGUGAAAUUUAAAUUAGAGAAAUUUUAUAUUACUAUUUAAAGUUUAAAUUCAAUGAUCAUAUUGUCAAAUCAUUUGAAAUUUUCCUUAUAUGAAAUGUCAAAUUAUGAAAGGAAAGAUAGAGAGAGCAAAAGGAAACAAAGAAAAAAUAAAAAUUUUAAAAAUAUAGUAGAUGUAAAAUGACUAAAUUGCCCACGUAUUAAAAGACAAAAAUAUCCUUUUUUGAGGUACCUGGUGACCGGUACCUCUCCCAAAGUGACCUGCUAUUGCAGGUCACAAUUUAAAAAAAACUAAAUCUGAGUCGUUGAAUAUGCGUGAAUGAACGGUAACCAAAAAAAAAAAGUAUAGAAGCAUUACUCAUAAAUAAUUAUUUGAGGUAUAGUAAGAAAAAAAAUAUUAUUAACUUUUCUAGCUAGUUUGCUUGCCAAAAUAUUCUUUUCUCAAUUUUUUUUUUGACGAGAGUAGGUCCAUAGUAAUUGUUAGAUGUGUCACGAAAUUCGGCUAUCAGUUUUUGAUUCGGUGUCCCUAAUUUGCCGACAGCUUUAUGGUGCGACAAAUUUUUUUAAAAAAAUUAUGAAGAAAAAAAUAGAUGUGUGUGGUGUUAAAGAAACUCGAUAAGGAGCAAACAGAUCAUUUUCUAUUCUUUUGCCCUGGAGGCGUGACAACAUGUCGAAAUCUUCAUAAAUUAUACUCUCUUUUUCGCAUAGUGGAGUUUUCUGUUUGGGUAUUCCUAAUUCGCCGACAGCUUCGCGGUGCGGCAAAUUUUGAAAAUAAAAUUUACAAAGAAAAAAGUGGAUGUGUGUGAUGUCGAAGAAACCCGAUAAGGAGCAAACAGAUCAUUUUCUAUUCUUUUGCCCUAGAGACGUGACAACAUGACGAAAUCUUCAGAAAUUAUACUCUCUUUUUCGCAUAGUGGAGUUUUCUGUUUGGGUGUUCCUGAUUCGUCAACAGCUUUGCAGUAUGACAAAUUUUGAAAAAAAAUUUAUAAAAAAAAAAAAUGGAUGUGUGUGAUGUUGAAGAAACCUGAUAAGGAGCAAACGGAUCAUUUUCAAUUCUUUUGCCCAAGAGGCGUGACAGCAUGUGGGAAUCUCCAUAAAUUAUACUCUUUUUUUUCGCAUAGUAAAGUUUUCUUCUCCUUCGUCCGUAAUUUUUUUUACGUAAGUUUUAUAUUCUUUUUUAUUAUUUUGUUGUUUGUCUACUCUACAAUCGUCAUUUUUCGUUUCUAUUUGUGCGCUCCUUGUAACAAUAAUCAUAAUAUAUAUAUAUAUAUAGAAUUAGGCUGGAAUACUAUUAAUAGUAAAACGCUCUUUUUGCUAUCAAGUUUUUAACCCUUGGAUGAAAAAUUGCAGGAUCAUGAUGAUAUUAGUCGGUUAGAGUUGAGUGGUCCCCCUAGGGUUGAGUGGUUCCCACUGAGUUAUAGUAUUUAAUCCAAUAGUUAGAAAUAAUGAAAAGAGUUGAUUCAAAGGCUAAAAACCCGGUAGCAACAAUAGAAUUUUGCUACUAAUAGUAGCCCAGUCCAACUCUAUAUAUAUAUAUAUAUAUUAAUACAUAAUAUAAAACUUAGGUUUUGAUACUAUUAAUAUUAAAACGCUCAUUAUUUCUAUCAAUUUCUAACACCUCGAUGGUAAAAAAAUUGUACGGGUCAGAUAUAUAUACGUUAGCGUUUGAAUGUCCCGUGGUUGUGUGGUCCCCUGGGUUAUAGUAUAUUAAUACCAACGGUUAGAAAUAUAUGAGAAAUUGAUCCAUCAAGGCUAAAAACGGUACAAAAUGGGAUUUUGCUACUAUAGUAAGCCAAGUCCAACUCUAUAUGUAUAUAUAGAGAGAGAGAGUUUUGCUCAGAAUACUUCGGUACUGAACGGUUUCGUUACUACUGAUUUGAUUCGAUGAUACGGUCUUCCAAAUUGAUGAUCCGGCAACCGUAACAUAAUCCUAUAACUAUUAAUAAAACUAUCUGUAAAAUCAAUUUCACAUAUUUCCGAUAUUUUAUCUUGUCCAUCAAGUGAACAGAAAAAUGAAUGGCUGAAAAUGAAUAUCCUUUAAAAGUCAUGAUACAAUUUUUAUAUUUGAGAUCUAGAGUCUAGAUCUUAUUUUAAAUAGUUUAAAAUUUUUUUAACAAAAAUUUAGUUGAUUUGAACUCUUCUAUACCGUUAAACGAGCAAACGCACUAUAUCGGCUAUUAAAAUUAUAGAUUUCGUGACCCUUUGAUCGUUCAGUUAGUGAUGCCAAAAAAUCAUGAAAUUUGAUUUCUAGAUAAUUUAAAUGGUCUAGAUCAUGUUCAACGGUACUGAUCGUCGAUUUGGAAGCUUUAUCAUCAAAAAUAAAUCGAUAGUAAACUGAGCAGUUUAGUACCGAUAGUAGGCCAGUCAAACUCUCUAUAUAUAUAUUUAUAUAUAUAUAUAUAUUCUUUUUUUC
RNAcentral lists this long non-coding RNA (66761 nucleotides) under Ananas comosus (pineapple). RNAcentral describes it as "long non-coding RNA (ACOM_LNC028793)". Lineage: Eukaryota; Viridiplantae; Streptophyta; Magnoliopsida; Poales; Bromeliaceae. The record is from RNAcentral.